GAACAUAAGUUAUCGUGUGUAAUAAUAAUUUUUGGAUUGCAUGUAUAUGAUCCAAGAAAACAAAAGGUUUUGAUGUUCUCAAAUAUUGGGUUUCUAGAGAAAGGAUCAUAGACUGAAAGUCUAGAUCAAAUGUCAGCAUGGAAAGAAAGUCACAUACCAUGCAGUCAUAACUCGUCCUGAAUGAGAUCUUCUUGUUUAAUUAUUAAACCAAUGGGAAAACUCAGUCUUUCAAGCUUAAGAAUGCCAAAACCUUAAAGAGAUUCAUGCUAUACAAUAUUAUAGUACAACAUAAAGUUUGACAAAUGUGUUUCUGAUAAGGCCGCUGCCGAUCUCUUUGAAGAGACAAAAACGCAAUCUCUGAAUGAUGUAUAUGGUAGAAAACACUCUUGAGAUAGCAAUUUACAGGAUAUACUAGAAAAGUAUACCAUCAAAAUAUCAUGACUUGCUGGAAUAGGCCAGAGUGAGGAGUAGACUUAUCAGAUGGUGCCUGUUGAUGAACUUGCUUUCUGAAUCUGUUACACAACAUUGACUGAGAUGAAUAUAUGACAUAAAAGAACAACAUCAAUAUGAAGGAAUAAUGGUGCUAGAGCAGAGUAUAAGACCUGAUUCACAAGCAAGUUUAUCUGCUCUCUAUACAUUUCUUUCAAGUCCACAAUAUCAGCACGGAGUUCUUCCAGCUGCACAAAUAUAACCACUUUCAAAUGUCGAGCAUUGAUAGAAAACAAAAAACACCAUUUUUAUUCCAUUGUUCACAAAGAAGGUAGAAGGAAAUAAAAAAUUUUCUUUUCCUCUCUCUGCUCCACUUCAGUUGUGAGCAUGUGAUUUCUUGAUUACUAAGUAUCCUGUUCCAUAAAACACACUUCGUCCCAUUUCACCUGUCUAAAGUUUUACUUUAAGCUCCCAUGAACAGAUAAAACAAAGGAAAAGAAAUGAGAACUUAGGAAUCUCAUUAUGGGAUGGGGUUGGAUUGGCUGUUGUAAGAUUCAGAAAGGUCUCUUUCAUUUUACCACAAUUUAUUGGCAAUUAGACAAAGCACAAGUUUUGGGAACUCACUCCACCUUAACCAUCCAACUCUCUUUCAAUAAUGAAUAUCCUCAUCAAUUUAACCCUCAUUUGUUGUACUCUCUCUCUCUCUCUCUCUCUCUCUCUCUCCCUGGCUGACUCCAUGCCCUAUAAAAAUAUUCCAUCCAUAUUCCUUUGGCAACCAUCCAUGAAAUUUCCAAAUAGAAUGAGGCAUAAUUCACAAGACUGCCCACGUCAACGUGGCAAACUAUGAGUGUGGCUGAUAAGGUACAAGCCAAGGGACUGUUGGAUUAAAACAGAGAUCACCAUGCUUCAGAAGCCAAAGCCCAUGCUACCUCUCCUUUGCUGACCCUAGCCUAAGCAGUCAUUUCCGUGGCAGCUCCCACUCUAGCUUUAGGUAGUCCUUUUCUCUAGCUUUUGACAAGGUUCCUCUCUAUACUCCAGGUAGCCUUCUCCGUGAGAAGUUCUUUCUGUGAGUCAACUGAUUUCAAUACCCUAUGUUAUGAACUUGAUCAUUAUGACAAACCCUUUUAGAACUACAGAAAUGCACAAAUCAAAGCCCUAGAAUUUUUUAGGAUCAUAGUAACACCAGAAAUGAAACAAGUUAAUGAAGGAUUUCCACAUAGUUGUCACAUCAUAACCAAGUUUCUAUGGAACCUGUGUCUCACAAGUGGGUAACCCAUGAAGCCCAACUAUUUACUUAUAGCAUAAUUUGGCUACAUGUGAGGCAUCAGUUGUUUUGCAAUGAGGGAUAAAAUGUGUCAUCUUAAAAAACUUAUCAGCCACAACAAAAAUGGAAUCAUGUCCUAGAGCUGUUUUCAACAAUCCAAGGUUAAAAUCCACACUAAGGUCUCUCCGAAGGGUGUGUGGUAUAGGCAAAGGUGUGUACAACCCAGUGUUUCUCUUCUUUACCUUAGCCAGCCGACAAGUUCAACAUUGCAACACAAUUUUAGCAAUAUCUCUUUCCAAGGAAGACUGAUAAAACUUAUCCUCCACCAAGUGACCAGCUAGACCUCUGCUAUACAACUCCUAAAUCAAGAAAUCUUGAAUAGAAGAACAAGGAAUGCAUGCUUUGUACCCUCUAAAAAAGUAGUCAACACAGAUGAUAAAAUCAAUGUGACCUCAAGAAUGACCAUCUUGAAUUUCUUGAUAGAUGACACCAAAAUCAGAAUAAGUAAGAUUACUCGUCCUUCAUCUUCUCAAAUCUAAACCACAUGACCACUCAAUCUAUAAAUAGGCUACUACUUGACUAACGCCUUCAACAACUUUAUUCUCAGUUCUUGCAUGAUGGUGGAGAACAAAUGUGUUUUGUUGAAGAAACUACAUCCACCUUGCCUGUUUAGGUGCUAACUUUAUUUGAGAACUGAGAUACCUUAAUGGUUGAUGGUCAAAGUAUAACAUAAUCUCUUGAGAUAAUAGAUAAUACCUCUAAUGACCAAGUGCUCACACAACAGUAUAGAACUCUUCAUCAUAAGUGGAAUAUCUUUGCUUACCUCAUUGAGUUUCUCACUAAAGUAUGCUAUUGGACAACUUUCUUGACUUAAGAUACCAGCUAUGCCAACACUUGAUGCAUCGCAUGUUGCCUCAAAAACUUUUGAAAAAAUCGAAUGGCUUAAGACAGGUGAUUUAGCUUUUUUGCAUUCUAUCUCCCCAAACCUUACUUUAUUCCAAUGAAACUCCCUUUUUAUCAUGCUAUCAAUAAUGAAAGUCAUUAUCAUACAAAAUUCCGUAAUAAAUUGCUUAUAAAUGAGACCAUGAAAGUCAUCAUAGCUCAAGUAGGGGUCAAAAAAGAAACACUGAAAACCCCAAAUGAUAACCUUUGGAUCUUGAAUGUGACAAAAGCAAACAUCUUUUACAAGUUGCAAUACAUGCUUAUAAAGAACUCCUCUCAUUUGAAGGCUUUGCAAGGUUUCCUUUGGAAUAAAAGGAUUUGAUACAGUAAGGUUUUGAUCCUUUUCUUUUUUUGGUAUCAUGAUAUUUGCAGAAGUGUAUGGGUGAACUUUUCAGUAUGGAUUUUUGCCAACAAUUUGGUACAAUUGGUGUAUAUGUACUUAAAGAUUUUUGUAUUGAUGAAUUGUUACUAUUAUUUGUUAGAAUGCAUAUAUGAAAAAUAUCAUUCCACUCUAGUACUAUAGAGAAUAUCACAGAUGAUAGAAAUCAAAUAUAACUAUUAAGUUUUAAAACAUUUCACCUUUUCCCUCUCCUUAUGUUUACACCCCGAACUAUGAACCUCGUCAUUCUAUCAAGUGUCCCUCAUUCUUCUUCACAUAUUUAUAUAGCUACCAUGGAUAAUCUUCACAAACCCAUUUCCUUCCUAUGUCUUUUCCCCCUCAUGACUUAGAAUAUUUAUAGAGAUACUCAUAAUAAAUUUUUGAUUUUGUAAGGAGAUGUAAUAUUUCAAUGACACAUGCAUCAAUAUGGAAAAUAUUAUCUAUAAUAUUAUUCUUUAUAAAAAAUAUAUAAGCACACACUAGUUAGGAAUUUAAGACAGUUUUGCAAGAAGGUAUAUGCCUAAAUCCAAUGCAACAUAAUGGCAAGAAACAUAGAAAGUUUGAAAUUGCACUAAUUAUUAGUUCACAUACCAUGAGCAGAACUAAAUUGCAGGAGACAUUAAAAUUUAAGAUUACAACUUGAAUAGUCUCGGCAAAAGGUUUCACCCUUUCACUUGGUAUCUAUUCUUUAUUUAUUAUAUCGGUUCAAGUACCCGAUUAUUCCAUCAAUACUCAUGGAGUGUGCUCAUGGUCCACCCAUGAGGACAGGAUCACUUAUCGAUUUCUUUCUUAAUAAAUCUGCAAAGGCUGGCCCUAGAGACAUGUGAUACCACCAUUGUCUUAGUCCAUGAGCCUCCAAAAUACUGCAUGAGGAUGAGCUCUCGCUAAUGGUUAGAUAUGCUUUAGGAAGUAGCUGUGUGGAUAGUUGUGGAUCCAUCCCAACUGCAGCUUUUAAUACACCUAAUGUUGGCUGCAGUACAGCAACCCUCCCUAUCAUCCCAGCUCCAAACUGCUUCUCCACAUUGUUCCUAUUUCUAAAAUGCCCUAUAUACUCUGAGCAAAUAGGAUCGUGUCGGUUCACAAACAGGUUGGGGAUCCAAGAAGACAAUGCAUUAAAUUGGUCAUAUUGUCCCUGUUGGUAUAAAAUUAAAUACUUAUACAGAAUAUAUAUUUUUGGGCUGUUGGAACUCUGAUUUUAUUGAUGCAGAAUGCUGAAUUUAUACAUGAACUUGUAACUUAAAUGACAUUAGAAUAGCAGAAAAUCAAGCUACUAGAUGAUGAACAACUACUUCCUAUAAAAUAGAAACCAAAUCUUGACCAAAUAAAAAUAAGAAAAUAUCUAGAUGUUGCAGAUUUUGUGCAAGACUCCAACUGCAAUAUUCAAAAUUCAAAUUCCAGCAAAUACUAAGUCAAAAUUCAACACUCCUCCUUGACUUCGUAGAUGCAAACUCCAAGUCUUGCACGUAGACACUCAAACCAAACUUCGAAAGGGGUCUGCUUCUUUAACACUUUUGUUGGUAAUAUGUUCAGAAAAUAUACUGCUCUACUUGCAGUUUUAGCCCAAAAUUGUUUGCAUUCCAUUUCAAGGAUGGCAUUUUUUGAGAUCCACCAAACAUUGUUUGCAUUCCAUUUCAAGGAUGGCAUUUUUUGAGAUCCACCAACAUCAGUAUGCACCAGUUGCAGUUUUUGAGUUGCUCUCCAGGAUAUUUUCUUUGGAAAGGGAAGUUUAGUUUGCUUCCCAUAUUGACAAGUAGCACAUAUAGGAAGAUCUUUUUCUAAGUCAAGAAGUCCUUUAACUAUUUGAUUUUUCUUCAUGUAGAGCACAUCAUCAUGAUGAAAGUGCUCGACCCUUCUGUCCCAAAACAUUGUUGUGCUAUCUUGUUGUAAAAUAGCAGUAUGCUCAUCUUCCAGUAAAUUCAAGGCAAAACUCUUGCCCUUCAUUUUUAUGUUGAACACCUCUUUGCCUUCAGCAUCCUUGAUAAUGCAAUUCCUAUCUUCAAAAUAAACUUUAAAUUCUUUCUCAACGAGCUGUCCAACACUGAGUAAGUUUUGGUCAAUGUCAGGCACAAACAAAACAUCAUAAAUGAGUUUCAAACCUGUUUGGCUUUCGAUAGCAACCGUUCCUUUGCCCUUCACUGGAAUAUACUCACCAUUUCCAAUUCUGACUUUGGAAAUAGUUGUUCUAUCAAGUUCUCUAAAGAGAUCUUGAUUAUUUGUCAUGUGAUUUGUACAACCACUAUCCACAAGCCAGCUUUCAGAGGUGCUUUUAUUAGCAAAACACGUUGCUGCAAACAAUUGCUCCUCCUGACAAUAGUCAACUACUGCAUUAGUUUCUUCCUGCUGUUGAUUUUUGCAAAUCCUCUCCACAUGUCCUUGUUUACCACACUUGUUGCAUUUCACAUCUGGUCUCCACCAACAUUUUUGUGGAGAAUGAUUUGUCUUCUUGCAAUGAGGACAAGGUGGAAAAACUCCAUUUUUCUGGUUGUUGCUGCAUGACUUGUUGUUGUUCACCUUUCCAUUUUUAUGGCCUGCAUUUUUCUGCAUUCUUGCUUGAAAUGCUCCUUCUGCAGUAUCUCCUUGUCUCAUGAGUCUUCUUUGUUCCACAGCCUCCAAGGAAUGUAAUAAUUCUGUCAAGCUAAUAGUUGACAGAUCUUUUGAAUUCUCCAAAGAGGAAAUUGUAGCUUCAUAUUUCUCAGGAAGUGUAACCAAUAUCUUUUGAACAAUCUUCUCAUUGGAAAAUUCUUUUCCAAGCAGCCUAACUUUGUCUGCUAUUGAAAGAAGUUGUGCAGCAUAGUCUUUAACAGCAUCAGACUCCCUCAUUUUCUUCAUUUCAAAUUCUCGAAUCAAGUUCAUCACCUGCAUGUUCUUGAUUCUUUCAUCUCCUUUGUAUUCCUCCUUGAGAUACUCCUAAAUUUCUGCAGCUGAAUCAAUUUUCAUGAUUUUGAUGAAAAUUGAUGGUGAAACUGCAGCAAACAAGCAAGCUUUCGCUUUAGCCUUUCUUGUCCUUCUUUCUUUAUGCAACUUCAUUUGAGCCACAGUUGGAUUGGCUCCUAGGGGAGGAACUUCAUAAUUUUCUUCCACUGCUUCCCAAACAUCAAGUGCUUGUAGAUGAACUGUCAUUCUAACAGCCCAAGUUUCAUAAUUGUCUCCAUCAAGAAUUGAUGGUGCAACUGUGAGACUUGACUCUUCCAUUGCUAUAUGAUUUUAGAAGGUGUUUAGGUUCACUCACCUCACUGGCCCCUCAAGAUAACUAUGGCUUUGAUACCACUUUGUUGGUAUAAAAUUAAACACUUAUACAGAAUAUAUAUUUUUGGGCUGCUGGAACUCUGAUUUUAUUGAUGCAGAAUGCUGAAUUUAUACAUGAACUUGUAACUUAAAUGACAUUAGAAUAGCAGAAAAUCAAGCUACUAGAUGAUGAACAACUACUUCCUAUAAAAUAGAAACCAAAUCUUGACCAAAUAAAAAUAAGAAAAUAUCUAGAUGUUGCAGAUUUUGUGCAAGACUCCAACUGCAAUAUUCAAAAUUCAAAUUCCAGCAAAUACUAAGUCAAAAUUCAACAGUCCCUGCCUCACAUGACCACCUCCAACAAAUAAUGUCCCAAAAUUACACAAAGUCUCCGUCAAGCGCAUUGCAUCCUGCAAAUAUUGAUUGCCGAUAAUCUUCAAGAGGACAUUCCCCAAGAGAGGUGGAUUGAAAAGGAAAGCUUCCAUACAUUUACCCUCCUGGGCCAUGGAUUUUCCAACCAUCAUCGCAAUGGAUGACCCAAGGGAAUGUCCUGCUAACCAAAUAUUUGCAGACCCGGCUUCUUGAACAACUUGUUGGACAGCUUCCAGUGCUGGUUUAAAGCGGUGUCUGUCCAUGUGAAGUACAUCAGUCAAGACCUUGAUAUUCAACUUGAGAUCUCGUUUUGCGGUGCUCAGUUUGAGGAUUGUGCCACGAAAGGCGAUAACAUACUUUGGGGCACAUUUUGGCAAAUGGUUAAGGUAUGUGUGCUUGAUUUCAUAAACAGCACCGUAGAUGGAUGAAUCUUUAUCAUCUACGAGCGCACGUUUUAACUGAAAAUGAAAGAAGUUCCACCAACGGGAAGACUGAACUUGGGGAUCUCGGGAUUCCUGGCGAUCAUAUUCUAAAUUGUAUGCUCCCUCAACCAGGCUCGCAACAACUGCCCGACGGUGAUGAUUAUUUGUCCUGCAAUAUUGAGGAAUGGUAAAUGAAUCCUCAUAUCUAAUCUACCCUUUCACAAAUACAGCAAUUAACUUAAAUAGAAAAUCUUGUCAAUGUUGAUCCUCAGGCAAUCUACAACACCUUCAAGAUGCAUGCUGAGGCAGAAUUCACCAUUUUCUUAUAGGAGUUUUAGGUCACAUUUAAAAACUAGUAAUAUUACCAUACUUUAGAUUGGUCUCUGUGUGUAACCAAGGACAAAAACCGAGCCUCACCGAUUCAGUCAUCCAAUUUUCUUUAAGCGUUUAGGUAAAGGGUCUCAUGGUUCGAUCCCAUUGCUUAUUCUUAUGUAUAUAUUGAAAAAUGGAAAAACUUAUGCAUUAUGUGAAAUGAGCAUGCAUGUAGGAAAAUGGUUGUACCAGUCAACUUCAGUGAGUUGUUUCGGUCCUGUGAGGUCGAAAUUUCCCCUUUCAAUAGCCAUUUGUCUGUGUGUGCUUCCCUUUCAAGUUUCGAGAUAUAUGCUGCCGGGCACAUAGGAGGGGGAAAAAAUCCAGAAAAUGAGUGGCAUACCAAGAUGAAAUGAUAGAGAAAAAAAUCCCGAAAAUGAAGGUUAAUCAUCAGAAACAAACUUAAAGGCACGAUGGAACCUCCAUGGGAAUAACAUCAAAACUUUUGAAUCAACACUUAGUCAUUCUUGGGAACCCACGUCAAUAUUGGAAAUCCAAAAAUUAUCUUUCUAUGUAUCAUAACAUUAUCAAUGAAUCUGUUGAAUUUUGACUUAGUAUUUGUUGGAAUUUGAAUUUUGAAUAUUGCAGCUGGAGUCUUGCACAAAAUCUGCAACAUCUAGAUAUUUUCUUAUUUUUAUUUGGUCAAGAUUUGGUUUCUAUUUUAUAGGAAGUAGUUGUUCAUCAUCUAGUAGCUUGAUUUUCUGCUAUUCUAAUGUCAUUUCAGUUACAAGCUCAUGUAUAAAUUCAGCACUCUUCAUCAAUAAAAUUAGUUCUGGCAGCCCAAAAAUAUAUAUUCUGUAUAAGUAUUUAAUCUUAUACCAACAAAGUGGUAUCAGAGCCAUAGUUAUCUUGAGGGGCCAGUGAGGUGAGUGAACCCAAACACCUUCUAAAAUCAUUUAGCAAUGGAAGAGUCAAGUCUCACAGUUGCACCAUCAAUUCUUGAUGGAGACAAUUAUGAAACUUGGGUUGUUAGAAUGACAGUUCAUCUACAAGCACUUGAUGUUUGGGAAGCAGUGGAAGAAAAUUAUGAAGUUCCUCCCCUGGGAGCCAAUCCAACUGUGGCUCAAAUGAAGUUGCAUAAAGAAAGAAGGACAAGAAAGGCUAAAGCGAAAGCUUGCUUGUUUGCUGCAGUUUCACCAUCAAUUUUCAUCAAAAUCAUGAAAAUUGAUUCAGCUGCAGAAAUUUGAGAGUAUCUCAAGGAGGAAUACAAAGGAGAUGAAAUAAUCAAGAACAUGCAGGUGAUGAACUUGAUUCGAGAAUUUGAAAUGAAGAAAAUGAGGGAGUCUGAUGCUGUUAAAGACUAUGCUGCACAACUUCUUUCAAUAGCAGACAAAGUUAGGCUGCUUGGAAAAGAAUUUUCCAAUGAGAAGAUUGUUCAAAAGAUAUUGGUUACACUGCCUGAGAAAUAUGAAGCUAUAAUUUCCUCUUUGGAAAAUUCAAAAGAUCUGUCAACUAUUAGCUUGACAGAAUUAUUACAUUCCUUGGAGGCUGUGGAACAAAGAAGACUCAUGAGACAAGGAGAUACUGCAGAAGGAGCAUUUCAAGCAAGAAUGCAGAAAAAUGCAGGCCAUAAAAAUGGAAAGGUGAACAACAAGAAGUCGUGUGGCAACAACCAGAAAAAUGGAGUUUUUCCACCUUGUCCUCAUUGCAAGAAGACAAAUCAUUCUCCACAAAAAUGUUGGUGGAGACCAGAUGUGAAAUGCAACAAGUGUGGUAAACAAGGAAAUAUGGAGAGGAUUUGCAAAAAUCAACAACAGGAAGAAACUAGUGCAGCAGUUGACUAUUGCCAGGAGGAGCAAUUGUUUGCAGCAACGUGUUUUGCUAAUAAAAGCACCUCUAAAAGCUGGCUUGUGGAUAGUGGUUGUACAAACCACAUGACAAAUAAUCAAGAUCUCUUUAGAGAACUUGAUAGAACAACUAUUUCCAAAGUCAGAAUUGGAAAUGGUGAGUAUAUUCCAGUGAAGGGCAAAGGAACGGUUGCUAUCGAAAGCCAAACAGGUUUGAAACUCAUUUAUGAUGUUUUGUUUGUGCCUGACAUUGACCAAAACUUACUCAGUGUUGGACAGCUUGUUGAGAAAGAAUUUAAAGUUUAUUUUGAAGAUAGGAAUUGCAUUAUCAAGGAUGCUGAAGGCAAAGAGGUGUUCAACAUAAAAAUGAAGGGCAAGAGUUUUGCCUUGAAUUUACUGGAAGAUGAGCAUACUGCUAUUUUACAUUUUACAACAAGAUAGCACAACAAUGUUUUGGGACACAAGGGUCGAGCACUUUCAUCAUGAUGAUGUGCUCUACAUGAAGAAAAAUCAAAUAGCUGAAGGACUUCCUAACUUAGAAAAAGAUUUUCCUAUAUGUGCUACUUGUCAAUAUGGGAAGCAAACUAAACUUCCCUUUCCAAAGAAAAUAUCCUGGAGAGCAACCCAAAAACUGCAACUGGUGCAUACUGAUGUUGGUGGAUCUCAAAAGAUGUCAUCCUUGAAAUGGAAUGCAAACAAUGUUCACCAGCCCACUGCACCAUAUAAUCCACAACAAAAUGGAGUCGUGGAGAGGAAAAAUAGAACAAUUUUGAAGAUGACAAGAUGCCUUCUGCAUGAAAAAUAUCUACCUAAAAAAUUUUGGGCUAAAACUGCAAGUAGAGCAGUAUAUUUUCUGAACAUAUUGCCAACAAAAGUGUUAAAGAAGCAGACCCCUUUCGAAGUUUGGUUUGAGUGUCUACAUGCAAGACUUGGAGUUUGCAUCUACGAAGUCAAGGAGGAGUGUUGAAUUUUGACUUAGUAUUUGUUGGAAUUUGAAUUUUGAAUAUUGCAGUUGGAGUCUUGCACAAAAUCUGCAACAUCUAGAUAUUUUCUUAUUUUUAUUUGGUCAAGAUUUGGUUUCUAUUUUAUAGGAAGUAGUUGUUCAUCAUCUAGUAGCUUGAUUUUCUGCUAUUCUAAUGUCAUUUCAGUUACAAGCUCAUGUAUAAAUUCAGCACUCUUCAUCAAUAAAAUUAGUUCUGGCAGCCCAAAAAUAUAUAUUCUGUAUAAGUAUUUAAUCUUAUACCAACAGAAUCUUUAUACACAUACGCAUCAAUACAUAGUAUCAAAAUAUUAACAAAAAGUUCAUAUUUAGACGUUCUCACUCACAAAAAUCUGCAAACAUCACAACAUCAUAAUGAUAACAGUUCAUAGUAUACACCAACUGUAUCAAAAUGUUGGCGAAAAUCCAUACUUAAAGGAGCACCCAGAAGCUUCUGCAAAUAUCAUAAUAAGAAAAAAGAAGAGGAUCAAAACCUUACUCGUACCAAAUAGUUUGAAUCCAAAGGAAGCCUUGCAAAGCCUUCGAAUGAGGGGAGUUAUUUAUAAGCAUGCAAUGCAAUGCAUGCAACUUACAAGAUUUAAAAGCCACGAGGGGAAUCUACCUAAAGCUGGUCAGUUGGAUGGAAAUAACGGUGAGAGACCAGUUGAUAUGGGAGAGCCAUUGAAAUGGUGUCCUUUUAAUUCUCUCUGUCAUGUGGAAUAAAGCCGGCAAGACUAGCUUGACAAAACGAUAACAUGUCCAUGGAAGAAAGUAAUGGUCCAAAAAUGCUGAAAAUGAUCUUUGGUUAAUGAGACAAGAUCAAGUCGACGAUUUAGGAACAUGGCAAGGAAUCCAAGAUUAAGCUUGCUCUACUUUACAAAAUCUCUCCACUUAUAACACACCCAAAAGCAAUUUGGCUCCCUUUUUUUCUUUCUAUAAGAAUGAAUUCUUAAAACAAAUCCAUGAGUGUUUAUCCUUGUAAGAAGAAGAAAACCUCUUAAAAGUCAUUAAAGGAACACCAUGACGUGAUUGAUCAAUGUAAAAGAUACUUUAAAAUGCAUGCUUAUCUUUAUAAUCUACAGAAUAUCAUAAAGUAUUCCCUCUCAUUCAACUCAAUUUGACGACACCCUCUCAAUUCCACAUUAAAUUUAUCAUUGAACGUCAACAGUAUACAAAUAUCAUAAAUCUUUGGUAAGAAAAAGGAGGAAACAUGACACAUGAAUGCUUUAAAAAGAGAAGUAUUUAAAAAAUGACACUCAAAAUUAAUUCUCUAAAAAUACUCUUAUGCCCCAUAAGGGUUAUGAAAAGUAUAGUAAAAGGAAAAGUGAAAGGGAAGAAUGUUAAGUAGGAAAAAAUAUAUAUAAAUUGUAUUUUUAAAUAAUUUUGGUAAUAUUUUAUUUUGCUUAAUAUUUUUAUGAUAAACUAAAUAGAGAAUUUGGAUUCCUUUGGCUAUGUUUGGUUCUCGAAAAUUUUGACAAUGGUAGAAUGCACAAAGAUAUAUGAACAAGAUGAGAAUGGUGUGGAUCAAAAAUGAUCAGGCAUCCUUUAUACUUGUCUAGAUUAAAUCUUACGAGCUUUGUAUGUAUUAACAACGAGUUGUUGGAUGAAAUUAAGAUCAUCUAGACCUCCUAUUUAUAUGCAAAGUGCUUCAUCAUUUAUCAUUAAUUGAUCUUCAUCUAAUAUUUCUGGUUUCCCAAAAUCUGGAAGGAGACCUUAAAUAAAUCCUAGCAUCGUGUGGACUACAUUUCUUUUUGGGUCCAUACACCAAGUGUUACUUAUUGUCUAUAUAUUUUAUUUGACUUUUUUGAGCGUGUAGAUUAUUCAGCCAAGGGAACAACAUGCAAUCUAGAUUCAACCAAGGGAAAAACGUGCUAAGGCCCACUUAUUAAUAAGUCUAUAGGCAGUUAAGCCAUUGUUGAAUGGGUUAACUGCGUGAGAAGAUUUGGAGGUGAACUAUUCCAAUUUAAAAUAAUUUUUGGUUUCAUAUAUAUUUUGAGUAAAAAUUUUCAACUGCUCGAUCUUUUUGCAAUAAUUUCUAAGCAAUUUUCUACAAAUAUUUAAAUAGAGGGACUAGUUCAUCAAUGAGAUAUUUGGUUAAAAGACCUAAAUACUUUUGAAAUUAGAAAAAUUACCUCUUUAAUUUAAUCAUUCUUUAAAAAAAAUCUUUGUUUCAUUAAAAAUGUCGUUUCCCCCCAGUGCCAAGUCAUUUUCCUCCCAAUUUUUUUUACCUAACUCCCUCUCUAAGUCUACGCUCUCUCAAGGGAUAAAAAUCAGCCUUUUUUUUUGGGGGGGGGGGGGGGGGGGGGGGGGGGUUUUUCCAAUUUUUUUUAAAAUUUUUUUGGAAAAAAGUUUUUAUUUUAAAUUUUUUUCCCCAGGGAAACCCUUUUUAAAACCCCCUUUUUUAAUAAAGGAAAAAAAUUUAAGGAAACCCCCGGACUUGUUUGUCCAAGUAAAAAAAAUUUUUAAAAAAUUUUUUUUUUUUUNNNNNNNNNNNNNNNNNNNNNNNNNNNNNNNNNNNNNNNNNNNNNNNNNNNNNNNNNNNNNNNNNNNNNNNNNNNNNNNNNNNNNNNNNNNNNNNNNNNNGGGGGGGGGGGCUUUCUACAAUUUCAUUUAAAAUUCUAUUGGAAAAUGAUUUAAUCUAGAUAUCAUUCAGCCAAGGGAACACCUUUCAAGACCCGCUUAUGUAAGUAAAGGAAGAAAAUUAAAGGAACACCAUGACAUGAUUGAUCAAUGUAAAAGAUACUUUAAAAAAUAUGUUUAUCUUUAUCAUCUUCUGAAGAUCAGAAAAUAUAAAACAAUAAUCAUACAGUAUUCCCUCUCAUUCAACAGUAUACGAAUGUCACAAAUUUUUUAUAAGAAAAAGGAGGAAACAUGACACAUGAAUGCCUUCGAAGGAGAAAUUUUUCAAAAAUGAUACUCAAAAUUAAUUCUCUGAAAGUGCUCUUAGGCCUGAAGGAUAAUGAAAAGUAGAAGGAAAAGUGAAAGAGAAGAAUGUUGAGGAAAAAAUAUAUUAAUUUGAAUCUUUAAAUAAUUUUGGUAAUAUUCUAUUUUUCUUCAUAUUAUCAUGAUAAACCAAAUAGGGAAUUUGGGUUCUUUAAGGUAUGUUUGGUUCUUGAAAAAUUUUGCACACCAUUGACAAUGGUAGAACGCAAAAGGUAUAUGAACAAAAUGAGGAUGGUGUCGAUAAGAAAUGACCAGAUGUCCUUUAUACUUGUCUAGAUUAAACCUCCCAAACUUUAUAUGUUUUAACGAGUUGUUGGAUGAAAUUAAGAUCAGCUAGAACUCCUAGUUAUAUGGAAAGUGCCUCAGCCUAAUAUUUCUGGUUUCCCAAAAUCUAGAUAAAGACCUUAAAUAAAUUUUCGCUUCGUGUGGACUAGGUUUCUUUAUGUACCAAGUCUUACUACUUGUCUAUAUAUUCUAUUUGACUUUUGAGCGUGUAGACUAUUCAGCCAAGGGAACAACGUGCAAUCUAGCUAUCAUUCACCCAAAGGAAAAACGUGCUAGGACCCACUUAUUAAUAAAUCUAUAGCAGCCAUUCUUGAAUGGCUGACUUGUUCCCUCAACCCCAUGAGAGGAUUCGGAUGUUUGAACUAUUGAAAUUUAAAAUUAUUUUUGGUUUCAUAUAUAUAUUGAGUAAAAAUUUCCAAGAGCUCUUUUAGCGUUGAUUUUUAAACAAUUUUCAAGUACUCAAAUUGAGGGACUGGCUCAUCAAUGAGCUUUUUUGCGGUUGCUUUUUUUUUUUUUUUUUUUUUAAUGAUUUUUUGCAAUUUCAUUUAAACUCUUAUUUUACUUUACUUUUGGGCAUGCAGAUUGGGUUUGCUCUUGGAAAAUGAUAUAAUUUAGAAAUCAUUCAGCCUAGGGAACAACAUGCAAGACUAAUAUUUAUAUUGCAUUAAUUUCUAAGAAAUUUUCUCCAAGCAUUUAGAUAAAGAUUUAUGGGGUAGGAGCUUUGACUUGCAUGCAGGGAGCUUUGACAAACAUUGUUGUUGUAGUUGUUCUUCUUCUUCUACUUUUCUACUUUUCUCAUUGUCUCAUUGACUCACGUAAACAAGCUUGACCGGAUACUUCCAUUUAACUCUUCCAUAAUCAAGAGGAUGCCUUCCUUUUCCACAGAUUAUCAUAAAUAACUCCUCUUGUUCAAAGGCUUUGAAAGCCUUCCUUUGGAUUCAAAGUAUUUGGUAAUGUUUUGAUCCUCUUCUUUUUUUAGAUAUUAUAAUAUUUGCAGAAGUUUGUGGGUGCUCCUUCAGGCAUGGAUUUUCGCCAACAUUUAUAUACAGUUAAUGAGACAAGAUCAAGUCGACGAUUUAGGAAGAUGGCAAGGAAUCCAAGAUUAAGCUUGCUCUACUUUAAAAAAUCUCUCCACUUAUAACGGACCCAAAUGCAAAUUGGCUUCCUUUUUUUCUUUCUAUUAGAAUGAAUUCUUAAAACAAAUCCAUGAGUGUUUAUCCUUGUAAGAAGAAGAAAACCUCUUAAAAGUCAUUAAAGGAACACCAUGACGUGAUUGAUCAAUGUAAAAGAUACUUUAAAAUGCAUGCUUAUCUUUAUAAUCUACAGAAUAUCAGAAAGUAUUCCCUCUCAUUCAACUUAACGGUAUACAAAUAUCAUAAAUCUUUGAUAAGAAAAACGGGGAAACAUGACACAUGAGUGCUUUAAAAAGAGAAGUAUUUCAAAAAUGACACUCAAAAUUAAUUCUCUGAAAAUACUCUUAGGCCCCAUAAGGAUCAUGAAAAAUAUAGUAGAAGGAAAAGUGAAAGGGAAGAAUGUUGAGGAAAAAAAUAUAUUAAAUUACAUUUUUAAAUAAAUUUGGUAAUAUUUUAUUUUGCUUGAUAUUUUUAUGAUAAACCAAAUAGAGAAUUUGGGUUCUUUAAGCUAUGUUUGGUUCUCGAAAUUUUUUUGCAUACCACAGACAAUGGUAGAACGCCAAAGGUAGAUGAACAAGAUGAGGAUGGUGUGGAUCACAAAUGACCAAACGUCCUUUAUACUUGUCUAGAUUAAAUCUCACAAGCUUUAUAUGUUUUAACGAGUUGUUGGAUGAAAUUAAGAUCAACUAGACCUCCGAUUUAUAUGAAAAGUGCUUCAGCAUUUAUCAUUAAUAGAUCUUCAUCUAAUCUUUCUAGUUUCCCAAAAUCUAGAUGGAGACCUUAAAUAAAUCCUAGCUUUGUGUGGACUGGGUUUUUUUAUGGGUCCAUAUAUCGAGUGUUACUUGUUGUCUAUAUAUUCUAUUUGACUUUUGAGCGUGUAGAAUAUUCAGGCAAGGGAAAAACGUGCGAAGACCCACUUAUUAAUAAGUCUAUAACAAAAACUUCUAAAAAAAGACACUCAAAAUUCUCCAACCUAACCUCCUGUAGAAAUGCUCUUAGGCUUUGUGAGGAUCAUGGAAAAUAGGGGGGAAAGAGAAAAGAGAAAAACGAUGAGGAAUCAAGGAAAAAAAAAAGCUAAAACUCAAUAAAUUUUUCUUACAAUUUUUUCAUAUUUGUUUUUGUUUUUUCUUUUUUACCCCUUUACAUAAAUAAUGAAGAAUAUGGUUUUGGUUAGGUUUUAUUUUUCUUGGUAUUCUUCUUGAUAAACCAAAUAUAAUUUUGGUUAUGCUAGAGUGUUUGAACCAUGCAAGCUGGGAUGGAGUGUAGAUUGGGUUCAACAAGACAAUGCUCGGAAAUUAUACAAAUGACUAGUCUAGAGAAUUGAUGGGUGCUUAAGGCAUUUUCUAAAUUGGUCCCCACCCUUAUUUGUUUCUCCCUUGGUUUGAUUUGUACAUUUUCACCAUCUUAUUGGUGCAUAUCCAUGUAGGUUCCAUUGGGCAUGCGGAAGCCUUGAUACCAAUUUGGUGAAGUAAUAAGGUUAAAAGAGAGAGACACAAUUUCAAGCAAGGUAAUGCUAGGAAAUUAUACAAAUCACUUUAGAGUGACUGGUAGUUAAGGCAUUUUCUGAAUUGGUCCCCACCCUUAUUUGUUUCUCAUUUGGUUUGAUUUGUACAUUUUCACCAUCUUAUUGGUGCAUAUCCAUGUAGGUUCCUUUGGGUAUAUGAAAGUUUUGAUACCAAUUUGGUGAAGUAAUAAGGUUAAAAGAGAGAGACACAAUUUUAAGCAAGAUAAUGCUGAGAAAUUAUACAAAUGGCUCUAGAGUGACUGGUAGUUAAGGCAUUUUCUAAAUUGGUCUCCUCCCUUAUUUGUUUAUCACUUGGUUUGAUUUGUACAUUUUCACCAUCUUAUUGGUGCAUAUCCAUGUAGGUUCCGUUGGGUAUACGAAAGCUUUGAUACCAAUUUGGUGAAAUAACAAGGUUAAAAGAGAGACACAAUUUCAAGAUAGAAAUAAAUAAACAAAAAAUUGGGAAGAAAUAAACCUUUAUUGUCUUUCACAACUCUCGCUUAUUCAAAUAUUACAUAAUCUUUUAUUUAUAGAUUAAUUUUCACACUGAACUAAAUAAAAACUCCUAAUUAACUGCUCAGAAAUAAAAACUAAAAUAACCAUUAAAAAUAAAAUAUUCUCACUGGCUAAAAUAACCAUUUCCAAUAAAAUAUUCUCAUUGGCUUUUGGAGACUAAAUAUAAUCCAAAUAUUUUAAGCAUUGUUUUUGUUGGGGGUUUCUAACAUUGUUUUUUGUUUUGUUUUGUUUUUGUUUUUGUUUUUUUUUUGUUUUUUUUGUUUUUUUUUUUUUUGGUUUUUUGCAAUUUCAUUUAAACUUCUAUUCUACUUGACUUCUAGGUGUGUAGAUUGGGUUUGCCCUUGGAAAAUUAUGACUUUGUGAGGAUCAUGGAAAAUAGGGAGAAAAGAUGAGGAAAGAAGGGAAUGGAAAAAAGAAGCUACAACUAUAUAAAGAAGUCUCAUCUGAAGGCUUUGGAAGGCCUCCUUUGGAUUAAAAGCAUUUGAUAAAGCCAGGUUUUGAUGGCAUGGUUCAAUAAUGUAAGGGAUUGUUAAAAAUGUAUGUUCAUUUCUAUGAUCUACAAAAUAUCAAACAAUAGUUUUUUUCUCUUGAGCAACACAAAAAUAGAAUCAUUUAUCCUGAAAGAAUGCUCUUACGCUUUGUGAGGAUCAUGGAAAAUAGGAGGAAAAGUACAAGGGAGAAAAACCGAGGAAAUAAGGGAAUGGAAAAAAGAAGCUAAAACUCAAUAAAUUUUAAAUCUUGUAAUUGACUUUGUGAGGAUCAUGGAAAUUAGGGAGAAAAGACGAGGAAAGAAGGGAAUGGAAAACAGAAUCAUUUAUCCUGUAAGAAUGCUCUUAGGAUUUGUGAGGAUCAUGGAAAAUAGGAGGAAAAGUACAAGGGAGAAAAAACGAGGAAAGAAGGGAAUGGAAAAAAGAAGCUAAAACUCAAUAAAUUUUAAAUCCUGUAAUUGACUUUGUGAGGAUCAUGGAAAAUAGGGAGAAAAGACGAGGAAAGAAGGGAAUGGAAAACAUAAUCAUUUAUCCUAUAAGAAUGCUCUUAGGCUUUGUGAGGAUCAUGGAAAAUAGGAGGAAAAGUACAAGGGAGAAAAAACGAGGAAAUAAGGGAAUGGAAAAAAGAAGCUAAAACUCAAUAAAUUUUAAAUCCUGUAAUUGACUUUCUGAGGACCAUGGAAAAUAGGGAGAAAAGACGAGGAAAUAAGGGAAUGGAAAACAUAAUCAUUUAUCCUGUAAGAAUGCUCUUAGGCUUUGUGAGGAUCAUGGAAAAUAGGAGAAAAAGUACAAGGGAGAAAAAACGAGGAAAGAAGGGAAUGGAAAAAAGAAGCUAAAACUCAAGAAAUUUUAAAUCCUGUAAUUGACUUUGUGAGGAUCAUGGAAAAUAGGGAGAAAAGGUGAGGAAAGGAGGGAAUGGAAAACAAAAUCAUUUAUCCUGUAAGAAUGCUCUUAGGAUUUGUGAGGAUCAUUGAAAAUAGGAGGAAAAGUACAAGGGAGAAAAAACGAGGAAAGAAGGGAAUGGAAAAAAGAAGCUAAAACUCAAUAAAUUUUAAAUCCUGUAAUUGACUUUGUGAGGAUCAUGGAAAAUAGGGAGAAAAGACGAGGAAAGAAGGGAAUGGAAAACAGAAUCAUUUAUCCUAUAAGAAUGCUCUUAGGCUUUGUGAGGAUCAUUGAAAAUAGGAGGAAAAGUACAAGGGAGAAAAAACAAGGAAAGAAGGGAAUGGAAAAAAGAAGCUAAAACACAAUAAAUUUUAAAUCCUGUAAUUGACUUUGUGAGGAUCAUGGAAAAUAGGGAGAAAAGACGAGGAAAGAAGGGAAUGGAAAAUAGAAUCAUUUAUCCUAAUAAGAAUGCUCUUAGGCUUUGUGAGGAUCAUGGAAAAUAGGAGGAAAAGUACAAGGGAGAAAAAACGAGGAAAGAAGGGAAUGGAAAAAAGAAGCUAAAACUCAAGAAAUUUUAAAUCCUGUAAUUGACUUUGUGAGGAUCAUGGAAAAUAGGGAGAAAGGACGAGGAAAGAAAUGAAUGGAAAGCAUAAUCAUUUAUCCUGUAAGAAUGCUCUUAGUCUUUGUGAGGAGAAAAAACGAGGAAAGAAGGGAAUGGAAAAAAGAAGCUAAAACUCAAUAAAUUUUAAAUCCUGUAAUUGACUUUGUGAGGAUCAUGGAAAAUAGGGAGAAAAGACGAGGAAAGAAGGGAAUUAAUGGAAAAAAGAAGCUACAACUAUAUAAAGAAGUCUCAUUUGAAGGCUUUGGAAAGCCUCCUUUGGAUUAGAAGCAUUUGAUAAAGCCAGGUUUUGAUCCUCUUUUUUGGUGUAAUGAUAUCUGCAGAAGUUUGUGGGUGAACCGGUAAGUACGGAUUUUAUCCAACAUUUUCAUACAAUUGGUGUAUAUGUGUCUAAAGAUUCUUGUGCUAAUGAAUUCAUGUGAUUAUUAUUAUAUGUAUGCUAUGCUGUUUGCCGGGCUAUCGAUGUUAUGAUACAUAGGAAGACAAUUUUUGGGUUUCCAAUACCUGGUAAGAACAAUUCCACAAAUCUACUUCUAUCUUCAGGAUGGUUAUGUGUUUUUUGUCAUUGCACUUUUGUUUAUACAUGAUAAUAACAAUAAUAAUAGAAGAAGAAGAAGAAGAAGAAGCAGAAGACAGUUUGUAACAAAAUUUACUUCUCAAAAAUAAAUUGAUCCAAGAAAUUUGUAACAAGUAUGAAUUGAUUGAAGAAGUUUGUAACCAAAUUAAUUAUUUGCUUCUCAAAAAUAGGUUGUGAUCGUUGUCUUUUAAAUCUUUCACAAGUUGCAACUGCAUCUUCCCAAAAGUUGCGGCUUGCAAAAUAAAAAAUUAAUUGAUCAUUUAUUCUGCUUGGUUGCUGAGAAAAGGAAAGGUUGACUAUCAUGUUUCUUAUGUUGUAAGAAUUGGAAAUAGAAAUUUUCAGGUCAAUUGAGCCAUGUAAUUGCAUUAAGCUCACUUCAUAUUUGAUAUAUCAUUGAUGUGGGUUCCCAAGAAUGACAAAGUGUUGGUUCAAAAUUUUGAAUUAUUUUCUUUUCCGACAUUCUUAGCCACCAAACUGCAGAGCUAGGUAAGGUAUUACCAUCUCUUCUAUGACAGACGAAUAAAACACAUGUAACUACUUGGAGGAAAAUUAAGUCUGACAUCUCACCCUCUAGCAGCAGACAGCAAGCAUAAAAUUAAGGCUUUGAAAGGUCUCUUUUGAUUUCAUUCUAUUGGUAUAAUGUGAGUAUUUUGGUUUCCCUUCCUCUUUGUAUUAGGAUAUAUAUGUACACAUACCGCUGAAUGAAAGCUUAGAUUGUUAGUGUUCUUACAUAUAUAAGUUUCGAUACUAUUCCCAUGGAGGCCCCAUCAUUAGUGAUAUGGUACUUUACUCCCUGUAGUGUACUGGUACACAUGACAUUAAAGCUUAAGUUUCAUGCCUUUUAAGUUUGUAUCUGUUGAUUAACCUUCACUCCUUUCAUCUUGGUAUUUUUCUGGAUUUUCUUUUUUCUCCUAUGUGCCCUGCAGAAUAUAUAUAUUUCCUUUCAAGAACAGAAGGAAGAAGGGCAGUAGAGGUACACAAUCACUAAUGGCUCCUGAAUUGGAAGAUUUCGACCUCACAGGACCGAAACAGCUCGCUGUUGUUGACUGGUACAACCAUUUUCCUACAUACAAUACUCAGUACACAUAAUGCAUUAAGUUUUACCAUUUUUCAAUAUAUACAUUAGAGAAUAAGCAAUGGGAUCGAUCCAUGAGACCCUUACCCAAACGCUUAAAGAAAAUUGGAUAACUGAAUCUGUGAGGCUCAGGGUUUGUGCUUGAUUACACAUGGAAACCAAUCUAAAGUAAAGUAAUAUUACCGGUUUUUAAAUGUGAACUAACACUCCUAUUAAGAAAAUGGUGAAUUCUGCCCCGGCAUGCAUCUUGAAGGUGUAUUAGGUUGCCUGAGGAGCAGCAUUGACAAGAUUUUCUAGAUAAAUUAACUGCUGUGUAUUUAUCAAAGGGGUAGAUUAGAUAUGAGGAUUCGUUUUCUAUUUCUCAUUGCAGGAGAAAUAAUCAUCACUGCCGGGCAGUUGCUGCCAGCCUGGUUCAGGGAGCAUACAAUUCAGAACAUAAUCGCCAGAAAUCCCAAGAUCCCAAAGUUCAGAGUUCCCGUUGGUGGUGCUCCUUUCAUUUUGAGGUAAAACGUGUGCUCAUAGAUGAUAAAGAUUCAUCCAUCUACGGUGUCGUUUAUGAAUUCAAGCACACAAACCCUAACAGUUUGCCAGAAUGCGCCCCAAAGUGUGUGAUUGCCUUUCGUGGAACAAUCCUCAAAUCUAGCUCCGCAAAACAGGAUAUGAAGUUGAAUAUCAAGCUCUUGACUGCUGAACUUCGCAAGGACAACUCUCGCUUUAAACCCGCGCUGGCCGCUGUCAAAGAAGUUGUUCAAGAAGCUGAGCCUGCAAAUAUUUGGUUAGCAGGACAUUCCCUGGGGUCGGCCAUUGCAAUGCUGGUUGGAAAAUCCAUGGCCCAGGAGGAGGGAAAGUAUCUCAAAACUUUCCUUUUCAAUCCGCCUUUCUUGAGGUCUUCCCUCUCAAUGAAUAUCAACAGUCCACGUUUGGAGAAUGUAAUCUGCUCAACAAAGAAUGUUAUCAAAGCUGGGAUCUCUUUUGUUGGGGGUGAUCAUUUGUGGCAGGAACGACAUCACCAAUUUAAUAAAUUGUCUCCUUGGAUCCCCUACCUGUUUGUGAACAAAGACGAUCCUAUUUGCUCAGGGUAUAUAGACCAUUUUGGAAAUAGGAAGAUCGAAUCUGAGAUAUGUUCAAUAAGGAGUGCAUUAAGAGCUGCAGUUGGGAUAGAUCCACAACUACCCGUACAUCUACUUCCUAAAGCAUAUCUAACUAUUAGCGAGAACUCAUCCUCAUGCGAUGUUUUGGAAGCUCAUGGACUAAAACAAUGGUGGUACCAAAUGUCUAUAGGGCCGGGCUUUGCAAAUUCACCAAUGAAGGUAUCGAUAGGUGAUACCAAACUCGUGGGUGAACCCUGAGCACACUCCAUGAGUAUUGAUGGAGUAAUCGGUAACAGAUGCCAAGUGAAAGGGUGCAACCUUUUACCCAGUCUAUUCAGGAUGUUGUGAUCUUUGAUUUUUUCGUCUCAGGUAUAAAUUUAGUUCUUCUUAUGGUAUGUGAACUCAUGAUUAGUGCAAUUUCAAACAUUUUACUUUUCCUGCAAUUGUGUUACCUUUGGUUUUAGGCAUGUAUACCUUGUUGGAAAAUGUUUCAAAUUCUGUUGAUAUAUGUUUUUGUUCCUAAUUAGCAUAUGUUUAUAUAUUUUGGUAAAGAAUAAUAUUGUAGAGAAUAUUUUUUAUAUUGAUAUGUCAUUAUCAUAUUAGAUUCCCUUAUAUAAUAAAAAAAAUUUAUCACAAGUGUCACUAUAAAUAUUCUAAGUUAUAAGGGGGAAAAAUCAUGAGAUGGAAAUGGGUUUAUGAAGAUUAUAAAUGGUAGAUAGAAAUGUGAAAAAGAAUGGGAAACACCCGAUAGAGUAGCGACUCAUAAUUCAAGGUGUAGAUACAAAAAGUGAAAUAGGGGAUGUUUUAGGGCUUAAUAGUUAUGUCUAGUUUGUCUUUUGUAAUAUUCUCUAUAGUAUAAUGGAAUGAUUUUUUUAUUUUAUGGAUGUAGACGUGGCUAGUCAAACCUUGCAUGUUAAAAUCUCAUGUACAUUUGUGUAUGAAUUGUUUAUCUUGGUAUUCUUCUAUUAACAUAUUGUAUGCAUUAAAGCCUCAAUUGUCAUAACAAAGUGGUAUUAGAGCUUAUGUUCUUAAGCCUAGAAUGACAACAAGAUUUAAGGUUAAGAGGUUUGAUGCAAAAAACGAUUUUAGUUUAUACUGCAUUAAGAUACAUGCCUUGUUGGUUCAAUAAGGAUGGUCCAAAGUGCUUAAAGGUAGAAAUGUUUUAUUAACAAUAAUAUAUGAUGAAGAGACUAAGGAACUUGUGGAGAAAAUGCAUAAUGUUAUUCUAUUAUGUUUGGGUACUAAGGUACUUAGAAAGUUCCAGAAGAUGAUACAAUUGUCAAGUUAUAGUUAAAGUUAGAAAGUCUAUAUAUGACUAAGUCUCUUAUAAUUCACUUAUAUUUAAAGAAGCGGUUGUUCAUUCCCCAGAUGAAGUACAUCCAUCAAAGACCACAUUUAUGAAUUUUAAUUAUAGAUUUGAGGAAUAGUGAUGUUAGAAUUGAUAAUGAAAACUAAGCCAUAAUUUUAAAUUGUUCCCUACCAAAUUUUUGUGCACACUUUCUGGAUAUCAUGAUGUAUGGUGAAAAUACUCUCUCCAUAGAGGAUAUUAAGGCAACCUGGAACUUAGAGAAGUUAAAGAAAAGGGUCUUUGAGAGUGAAGAAAAAAGCUUAGGUGAAGGUUUGGUGGCUAAAGGAGAAUGGAGAAGAAAAAUAUUAGCAAAAAAGUUCGAUUUAGGUUUAAAUCGAAGUUCAAGAGAAAUAAAAAGGUACUAUAAGAGAAAUUGUCUAGAACAUUAAAAAAAAACAAAAAAACAAAAAGCCGGCUAUGAUUUUGGUUAUGCAAUAAUUGUAGAUGAAAAUUUCUAUGACUUUUUGCAAGUAGAAAACAAACAAAUUUUUUUCAAAAUUAUUUUCUUUCUUUGAGAAUAGAAAACGAUUUUCGGAAAUCAAAAUGAAAAUCCCACCAUUUUUUUCAAAGAUAAAAUCAUACAAAAUUUUAAAAAUAUUUUUGCCCUAAUUUUAAUUUGGACUAUAAUUGUAAUAUAAAAAUAGAUAAACAUAAUUGUCAUAAAAUAACAUAUAUUAAGUAUAACCAUAAAAUACAUAAAAAUUAUUUUCUUAUAAUUUUUAUCAAAUAAUUAAAAUCAAUAUAAAUAUAAAAGGAAAUACACUAUUGGCUAGCGUUGACGUGCCUAUGUGAACCAAAAUUAGUAAUUUAAAAAAAUUAAAUAUUAAUAAAUGGUACAGAAUGAGACGUGUACGAGAAAUUCUCCUAUACUAAUAAAAAUAAAUUUAAAUAAUAAAGGAUUAAAAGGAUUGGCCCUUGACCCUUCCCGAACCCACCACUUAUCAUCUUUCCGUGAGAAAUAUGCCACAAAGAUGAAUGAGAUAAGGUUUGAAUUGAAGUGGGGUGACCCUUGACCCAUCCCGAACCCACCACCUGUUAUCAUUCCUAACUGAGAAAUGUGGAACAAAGAUGAAUGAGAUAAGAUUUGAAUCGAAGUGGGGUGUAUGUGCAGAGAUUUUUUUGAAAUAUAAACACAUAAAGAGAGUUUUCUGAAACAUAACCACAUGGAGAGAGGGGCAAUUAAAGAUGCCACUGAGCAUGACUUACUACCAUUGAGUUUGUAAAAAGGGGGUUUGCCAGAAGUUAUGUAUGAGUAGAGAAUUUGGGGACCAUACCAUAAACUUACUACCAUUGAAAGGUAAACGUGUGGACCGUGGACCUUGAUGCCAUCCACUUUAUCAUUUUGUAUCUUAAAUUUUUUUACUAUAUGUUUUAUACAUAGUCUUAAUAAAAAUAUCAGUAUAAUACUGAAUUGGCAAUGCUUUAACUUGAUAAAAAUUCAAAAGAGAAAAUAAGACUCCUUUUGAUAAAUGUUUUUAAAAAUCAUUUUUGAUAAUAGAAUUUAAAAAAAUUUCUUUAAUAUUUUGGAGAAUAAAAAUCUAUUUAGAAACCUAAAAUGUAUUUAAUAUGUUUUUAAUAUUUUAAAACAUAUUUUAAAAUAAUUUUUAUAUAUACUACUUUAUUUUUUAAUCAUUCUAUAUAUUUGUAUAAUUAUUUUUUAAAACAUUCUUAAAAAAAUGAAUGAAAACAACUAAAAGUAUUAUCGACACUCUAUUUUCUAUUUUUAAGAAUAUAAAUUAGAAAACAACUUUUUGAUUAUCAAAUGUGUAUAUACACACACAAAGUUUAUAACUUUAUAAAUACCAAUAAAGAUAAUAAAUAAUUAUAAAAUAAAUAAAUAAAAAGACAACUUCAUACAAUUUAAUAUAAGUGUAUCUCUAUUACAAAAAGGCAACUUCAUACUGGGUAAUAUAAGUGUAUCUGUUUUACAAACUUGAAUUUACACUCGGUGCUCAUAGUCUUCAUUUGACGAUCUAUAUACAGAAAACUAUAUCUUCAACUAAGUCUUUAAGUCAAACUUCAACUAUCACAUUUAAAUAUGGAUAUAGGACUUGGUUCUAAACAGAUUAAUGCUAUUAAUGGUUAUACGUUGAUAUUUUGAUAAUCAUGAAAGUUAAUAUGCAAUAACUCAAUCUCAUAGUUACAACCUUAUAACAAUUCUCGUAUAAGUGUGUCCUCUAAUGAUACAUGUGGCCUAUACCUUGUACAAUUUUCUACCUUAGGCUCAUUCAAGUAAAAACUCUUCCUAGCAUCACAUCUAUAUCAUUGCCAUCAUAAGACUCUCCCCACAAAAUUAGUACUACUUGCAAGUUAUGGCCUCAGGAUUGUUCCAUAGCAUUUUGGAAAGAAAAUUUCUUGUUACAAUUAAGGGAAGCACUACAAGAAAGCGAAGUUAUUAGAGUGAUGUGGAUAAACUUAUUAAAGAUAUUAGCUUAAAUAAUCCAAAAAAAGAAGUGAAAAUAGUUUUUCAAUAUUCUUUUGUGAUUUGAUGGACAUAUUUUAUAUAGGAAAAGGUUCAUUAUCACAAAAUCAUCACAAGACACUCCCACCAUGGAAAAUUCAUCAUGAAAUAUUAUCUCAUUAAGAAAAUAUCAUGAAUUUUAAAGCCGAACUUCUAUUACUAUAAAUCUGACUAAAAAUUGGGAAAAAGAAAAACACAUAUUUUGCUCUGGCUGCCUUUGGUUUAUUUACAGUAUGAGCAUUGCUAGAUGUAAGGCAUGCCUUCCCCUUUGCUAUCAGCCCUCUCCCUUCCUUCUUGGAUUGCCUCCUUCAAGAGGAGGUUCUUGAUUGAGUGCAGUUUGUUGACUCCAUCUCCCAUCUCCAUUCGGUCCCCUGGAGAUUCAAUGGAACAUGUGACGCCAAUUCUCAAUACUGAGACCAUGUACUCCUCCAUUUUGCGGUCUCUUUUUCAUCUCCUAAAACCAAAUGCGGAUCCAUGACUUCCCUUACUCGCUCAGGUAAAGAUGACUUCACAAAAUCAUGAAGAGUAAGGCCAUCUUAGAAGAUGUCAUCCGUUGGCCUUCUUCCUGUAAACAUCUCCAGCAAUAGAAUUCCAUAACUGUACACAUCUCCCUCUGCAGAAACAUUACCAGUAACACCAUAUUCUGCAAAAUAGUUAGAGCAAGAUUUAAUAAUUCUUCUUUGCAGGUUGUUUUUUUAAAGUUAAAAAGGUUCAAUGAAACUUUUUGUUUCAGUGAAUACUGGUGAUUCAGGAAGGCAACAUGAGAGGAUUUGGAGGUUUGAACUAUUAAUGAAUCUAUAGGCAGUUAAGGCAUUGUUGAAUGGGUUCCUUGCUCCUUCAACACCAUGAGAAGAUUUGGAGGUUUGAACUACUCUAAUUUAAAAUAGUUUUUGCUUUCAUAUGUAUUCUGACUAAAAAUUUCCAACAGCUCUUUUAGCAUUGAUUUCUAAGCAAUUUUCUACAAGUAUUUAAAUAGUGGGACUAGUUCAUCAAAAGACCUAAAUACUUUUGAAAUUGGAAAAAUGACCUCUCUUAAUCAUUCUUUAAAAAAAUGUUCUUUGUUUUGUCAAAAAUGUCAUUUCCCUCCCAUUUUUUACCUAACUCUCUCUAUAAGAUUAUGCUCUCUCAAAGGAUAAAGAUCAGUUUUGUUUUUUUUUGUAAUUUCAUUUAAACUUCUAUUCUACUUGACUUCUGGGUGUGUAAUUGGGUUUGCUCUUGGACAAUGGUAUACACUAGAUAUAAUUCAACCAAGGGAACAAUGUGCAAGACCCGCUUAUGUCUAUGGCAUUAAUUUUCUAAGAAAUUUGCUACAAUUAUUUAGAUAAAGAGACUUGUUCAUCAAUUAUGUUUCAUCUAGAAUAUGUUUGAAAUAUUAUGAUAAAGAAUGAGAUUGGAAAACUCAUUUACUUUCCCAUUUAUUAAUGUGUUUGGAAUACUAAUCUGAAAUUAGAAUAGGAAUAAAAAAAAAUCAUUUUAAUGGGAACUAAUUUACAAUUUUUAUAAGAAUUUUGAUUACUUUGUUUCAUAUGCUAUUGUAAUUCACCUAAAUUUUCAUUCUUAUUCUUGUGUAUCAAAUACACCUUAAAAUAAAAAAAAUUAAAAAAAAGAAAAAAAAAACCUUUUCUUAUUGGGAUGAAAAGAAAAGAAUAAACAAGAAAAUAGUAAGCAAAUUCAUACAAGUCUUCACGGAUGAAGAAAUUAAGAGCCAUACCUAUCGUUUUAAGUAGUAAACCUCAUAAAAUAAAGGAAGACCAUGGCAUGGUUCAAUAAUGCAAGAGAUUGUUACAAAUGCAUGUUCAUCUCCAUGAUCUACAAAAUAUCAAAGAACAGAUUUUUAUUUUUAUUUUUUCUCUCUUGAGCAACACAAAAACAGAAACAUUUAUCCUAUAAGAAUGCUCUUAGGCUUUGUGAGGAUCAUGGAAAAUAGGGAGAAAAGACUAGGAAAGAAGGGAUUGGACAAAGAAGCUAAAACUCAAUAAAGAACUCUCAUUUGAAGGCUUUGAAAGGUCUCCUUUGGAUUAAAAGCAUUUGAUAAAGCCAGGUUUUGAUCCUCUUCUUUUUUGGUGUUAUGAUAUCUGCAGAAGUUUGUGGGUGAGCCUGUAAGUAAAGAUUUUUUUCCAAUAUUUCAUACCUAAACAUGCACUUAAAGAAAAUUGGAUAACUGAAUCUGUGUGGCUCGGGUUUUGUUCUUGAUUACACACAGAAACCAAGCUAAAGUAGAGUUAUAUAACUAGUUUUUAAAUGUGACAUCCUAAAACUCCUAUAAGAAAAUGGUGAAUUCUGCCUCGGCAUGCAUCUUGAAGGUAUUUUAGGUUGCCUUGAGGAUCAGCAUUAAUUGACAAGAUUUUCUAGAUAAAUUAACUGCUGUAUUUAUCAAAGGGUAGAUUAGAUAUGAGGAUUCAUUUACUGUUUCUCAUUGCAGGACAAAAAAUCAUCACCGCUUGGCAGUUGCUGCGAGCGUGGUUCAAGGAGCAUACAAUUUAGAAUAUGACCGCCAGGAAUCCCAACAUCCCCGAGUUCAGUCUUCCCAUUGGUGGCACUUCUUGUUAAAGUUAUCAACAUCAGCAUGUGACUGAGAGGAUGUAUUGAACAAGUCAAGUUUGUUUUUGUGUCAAAAAUAUGCCUCUGUUUAGUUUUUCAAUAUAUUAGGAAUUGUCCGAGUCUUAGGGAGGUUGUUGCAGCACGUUUAGAGUAACUGGUUAUCUUUCUAUUCCUAUUUUUUAGUAUUUCUAUUUCUGUUGAUGGUUUUGCCUAUAAAAGGCUUGUAUCAGGUGAAGUUUAAAUCAUCACCAUAUUAAUAAAAUUAUUUUCUUUCCUCCUCUGUGUGUCUCUUUUAUAAAGUGGGUUCAACAUUUGGUAUCAGAGCCAGGUUGAAGAGGCAUUUCAGAGAGUGUUUGAGAGUCAAACACGUGAGGAAAAGAGAGAGUGAAAUGGGUGAUCUUCAAGUCAUUGGCGGAAUAAAAAAGCUCAACAACCAAAAUUACAAUACUUGGUCAACAUGCAUGAUGUCGUACAUGCAAGGCCAAGACUUGUGGGAGGUUGUGAACGGAAGCGAAAUUACUCAACCAAAGGUUGAGGAUGCGAAUGGUAUACUGCGAAAAUGGAAGAUAAAAGCGGGCAAAGCGAUGUUUGCUUUGAAGACAACGAUCGAAGAAGAUGUGCUAGAGCAUAUUCGAGAUGCCAAAACCCCUUACGAGGCUUGGAAUACGUUCACCAAGCUGUUCUCAAAGAAGAAUGACACAAGGCUCCAACUUCUAGAGAGCGAGUUGUUUUCGGUAGCACAGCGUGACUUGACAAUCGCUCAAUACUUUCACAAGGUGAAGACGUUAUGCCGGGAAAUUUCUGAGUUGGAUCUAGAAGCCCCAAUCGGUGAAACCAGGAUGAAGAGAAUAAUCAUCCAUGGUUUGAGACCAGAAUUUAGAGGUUUUGUUGCUGCUAUACAAGGAUGGCAAAAUCAACCAUCACUUGUUGAGUUUGAGAAUUUGCUAGCUGGUCAAGAAGCCUUGGCUAAACAAAUGGGAGGAGUUUCACUCAAGGGUGAAGAGGAAGCGCUUUAUGCCCACAAAGGCGGGUGGAAUUCCCAGCAGCACACCGUCAGAAGAACUAAAAAGAAUGAGGACAAGGCAAAGUGUAGUCAAGGUGAAAGGAGCGCUCGUGUUGAGGGAGAUUCGAAGAAUCCUGGCACCAGAAAAAAAUUUGAAGGGAAGUGCUACAAUUGCUGAAAGAAGGGUCACAUGGCAAAAGAUUGUUGGUCGAAAAAAGGGCUUGUGGAAAGUAAUGCUACUACUUCCAAAAGCGAAGAUGAGUGGGACGCUCAGGCAUUUUUUGCUGCAAUAGGAGAAUCAGCUUUUAUAGCAACAACGUCUGAACAAAUUGAUUAUGAGAAGGAUUGGAUCAUUGACUCAGGCUGCUCAAAUCAUAUGACGGGUGAUAAAGAAAAGUUGCAGGAUUUAUCAGAGUACAAGGGAAGACAUAUGGUAGUCACAGCGAACAAUUCAAAACUACCAAUAGCUCACAUUGGUAAUACGAUAGUCUCUUUCCAAUAUAAUACUAAUGAUGUGUCGCUUCAAAAUGUCUAUCACGUCCCAGGUAUGAAGAAAAAUCUUCUCUCGGUAGCACAAUUAACGUCUUCAGGCCAUUCUGUUCUAUUUGGCCCUCAAGAUGUGAAAGUUUAUCAUGACCUUGAGGUUAUGGAAGAGCCGGUGAUAAAGGGACGGAGACUAGAGUCAGUCUAUGUGAUGUCUGCAGAAACUGCAUAUGUAGACAAGACCAGAAAGAACGAGACAGCUGAUUUAUGGCAUAUGCGAUUAAGUCACGUUAGUUAUUCCAAACUAACUGUGAUGAUGAAAAAAUCAAUGCUGAAGGGACUUCCACAACUUGAAGUGAGAAAAGAUACAAUCUGCGCAAGAUGUCAGUACGGCAAAGCGCAUCAGUUGCCGUAUGAAGAGUCAAAAUGGAAAGCAAAGGGGCCAUUAGAGCUAAUUCACUCUGAUGUGUUUGGACCUGUUAAGCAAGCCUCUCUUAGUGGGAUGAAAUACAUGGUGACCUUUAUUGAUGAUUUUUCCAGGUACGUGUGGGUGUACUUUAUGAAAGAAAAAUCUGAAACUUUCUCAAAGUUUAAAGAAUUCAAGGAAAUGAAGGAAGCAGAGGUUGAUAAAAGAAUCCGUUGUUUGCGUACUGACAAUGGAGGAGAGUAUACCUCAGAUGAGUUUUUUUACUUCCUCCGAGAAUGUCGAGUACGCCAUCAGUUCACAUGUGCCAACACUCCGCAGCAAAACGGUGUAGCAGAAAGAAAGAACAGGCACCUAGCAGAAAUCUGUAGAAGUAUGCUUCAUGCAAAGAAUGUUCCAGGACGGUUUUGGGCAGAAGCAAUGAAGACUGCAGCUUUCGUAAUCAAUAGGCUUCCUCAACAAAGGUUAAAUUUUUCAUCACCCUUUGAAAAAUUGUGGAACAUAAAGCCUACAGUUAGUUAUUUCCGAGUUUUCGGAUGUGUUUGCUAUGUCUUUGUACCUAAUCAUCUACGCAGCAAGAUGGACAAGAAGGCUGUUAGGUGUGUCUUAGUAGGAUACGAUAGUCAACGAAAAUGAUGGAGAUGUUGCGAUCCUACAACUGGAAAGUGUUACACAUCCCGGAAUGUGGUGUUUGAUGAAUCAUCUUCAUGGUGGUCCUCAGAAAAGGAAAUAUUACCAGAUUCAGAUGUUUUUAAGGAUGAGUUGCAAUCUGCUCGAAUCCAACUUAGCUUAGGUGAAGCUGAAAAUGCAGCCGAUGGUGAUAUCGGAGAUGACGAAACUCAAAGUCCUUGGCAAACUGGUGUGCAUGGACAACCAAGCGAAGAAGGUGAGCCUAGUGAAACAGAAGCACCAAUUCCACUUAGAAGAUCAAUAAGAACCAAGAAGCCAAAUCCCAAAUAUGCCAAUGUUGCCAUAGUAGAAGAUGCAAAUGCAAAAGAACCAAAGACAUUUGCAGAAGCAUUUCAGAAUUCAGACUGGAGUAAAGCUAUGCAAGAGGAAAUUGCAGCAUUAAAACGAAAUCAGACUUGGGAGCUCGUGCCAAAGCCAAGAGAUGUAGAGCCUUUUUCCUGCAAAUGGGUUUAUAAGAUAAAACGUCGCACAGAUGGAUCAAUAGAAAGGCACAAGGCUCAUUUGGUAGCUCGAGGAUUCUCUCAACAAUAUGGACUAGACUAUGAUGAACGUUUAGUCCAGUUGCAAAACUUACAACUGUACGAGUCUUACUUGCACUUGCAGCUAACAAAGAUUGGGACUUGUGGCAGAUGGAUGUGAAGAAUGCAUUCUUGCAUGGAGAUUUGGAUCGAGAGAUCUAUAUGAAUCAACCGAUGGGCUUUCAGAGUCAAGGUCAUCCUGAAUAUGUAUGUAAGCUGCGGAAGGCACUCUACGGAUUGAAACAAGCACCCAGAGCAUGGUAUGGUAAGAUUGUUGAAUUUCUAACUCAAAGUGGGUAUUCAGUAACACCUGCAGAUUCUAGCUUGUUUGUCAAAGUUAAUGGAGGAAAGUUAGCUAUCGUACUUGUAUACGUAGAUGAUCUAAUCAUCACUGGAGAUGAUGUUGAAGAAAUUUUCCGAACAAAGGAGAACUUGUCAGUUCGUUUCGAGAUGAAAGAACUUGGACAACUUAAGCACUUUCUUGGGCUAGAGGUGGAUCGUACAAACGAAGGGAUAUUUCUCUGUCAACAAAAAUAUGCCAAAGAUUUGUUGAAAAAGUUCGGGAUGCUCGAAUGUAAGCCGAUCUCAACACCAAUGGAACCAAAUGCCAAGAUGUGUGAACACGAAGGCAAAGACUUGAAAGAUGCAACAAUGUAUCGACAAUUGGUGGGUAGUUUGCUUUACUUAACUUUAACUAGACCCGAUAUCUCUUAUGCAGUUGGUGUGAUGAGUCGAUACAUGCAAAAUCCAAAGAAGCCUCAUUUGGAAGCAGUUCGACGAAUUUUGAGACAUGUGAAGGGUACAAUUGAUUAUGGUCUGUUGUAUAAGAAAGGUGAAGAUUGCAAGCUAGUUGGCUACUGUGAUGCUGAUUAUGCAGGAGAUCACGACACCCGCAGAUCAACUACCGGAUAUGUGUUUAUGCUUGGAUCAGGAGCAAUUUCUUGGUGUAGCAAGAGACAACCGACAGUAUCUCUGUCAACAACGGAGGCAGAGUACCGAGCAGCAGCAAUGGCAGCUCAAGAAAGUACGUGGCUUAUACGGCUGAUGAAUGAUCUACAUCAACUAGUGGACUAUGCAGUUCCAUUGUACUGUGACAACCAGUCGACAGUUCGUUUGGCAGAGAAUCCAGUCUUUCAUGCAAGAACAAAACAUGUGGAAGUGCAUUAUCAUUUUAUUAGGGAAAAGAUCCUGGAAGAAGAGGUUGAGCUGAAGCAGAUUAAGUCAAAAGACCAAGUUGCAGACUUAUUCACAAAAGGUUUGAGUGGCAGCAAGUUUGAAAGCUUUUGUCAUCAGCUCGGUAUGGUAAAGAUUUUGGAAGCUGAUGUUGAGGGAGAGUGUUAAAGUUAUCAACAUCAGCAUGUGACUGAGAGGAUGUAUUGAACAAGUCAAGUUUGUUUUUGUGUCAAAAAUAUGCCUCUGUUUAGUUUUUCAAUAUAUUAGGAAUUGUCCGAGUCUUAGGGAGGUUGUUGCAACACGUUUAGAGUAACUGGUUAUCUUUCUAUUCCUAUUUUUUAGUAUUUCUAUUUCUGUUGAUGGUUUUGCCUAUAAAAGGCUUGUAUCAGGUGAAGUUUAAAUCAUCACCAUAUUAAUAAAAUUAUUUUCUUUCCUCCUCUGUGUGUCUCUUUUAUAAAGUGGGUUCAACACUUCUUUCAUUUUGAGUUAAAACGUAAGCUCAAAGAUGAUGAAGAUUCAUCCAUCUACAGUGUCGUUUAUGAAAUGAAGAGCAUAUACCCUAACCAUUUGCCAGAACGUGCCCCAAAGUACAUUAUUGCCUUUCGUGGCACAAUCCCCAAACCGAGGAGCACCGUGAGGCAGGACCUGAAGUUGAAUAUCAAGGUCUUAACUGAUGAACUUCACAUGGACAAGUCCCGCUUUAAACACGUGCUGGAAGCUGUCAAAAAGGUUGUUCAAGAAGCUGGGUCUGCAAAUAUUUGGUUAGCAGGGCAUUCCCUGGGGUCAGCCAUUGCGAUGCUGGUUGGAAAAUCCAUGGCCCAGAAGGGUAAGUAUCUCGAAACUUUCUUUUUCAAUCCACCUUUCUUGAGGUGAGUAUCACUAUAAAUAUUUUAGAUCAUAGGGGGGUGGGGAGUCAUGAGAUGAAAAUGGGUUUAUGAAGAUUAUAUGAUAGAAAUGUGAAGAAGAAUGGAAGAUACCCGACAGAGAAGAGACUCAUAGUUCAAGGUGUAGACACAAAAAGUGAAACAUAGGAUGUUUCAAGGCUUAAUAAUUAUAUAUUUAGUUUAUAUUCUUUGUAAUAUUCUCUAUAGUAUAAUAUAAUGAUAUCUCUCAUUUGUGGAUGUAGACAUGGCUAGUCAAACCAUGCAUGUUAAAAUCUCACAUACAUUUGUGUAUAAAUUGUUUAUCUUUGUAUUCCUCCAUUAACGUACAUAUUUGCAUUAAAUCCUUGGUUGUCAUAAUAAAGUGGUAUUAGAGCUUAUGUUCUUAGACCUAGACUCACAACACGAUUUAAGGUUGAGAAGUUUGAUAGAAAAAAUGAUUUUAGUUUAUGCCGCAUUAAGAUACGUGAUUCGUCCCUAGCAGUGGCAGUGGCAAUGGCACCAUUUGAUUCGGGGUUCGAUCCCCGGCAACGGCGCCAUUUGAUUCGUGCCCAAUUGGUGUCUCAGCUGAUUUGUGUCCAGCUGGUGCUCCUUGAUUGAGGGAGUAAUCAACAAAAUUUAUAACCUAUUACACCAUUUACUAGAGUAGCAAAGACAAAGCUACUAUAGCAUAGUGGCUCUAGGAUCGUUCACUGGGAUGGGUUUUCACUUCACAAUUGAUAUUAAUUCAAAGAUGAAUUGGUGCCUUUUCAUUUCAAGGUUAGCUUUAAAAGAAAACAUAAAGAUGUUUGAAAGAAAAGAAUUUGGUUUUAAACUAACCAAAAGUAGUAACUGAUUUUACUUAUAAAGAAAAGUGUUUCUUGGAGUUCAGAUCACUAGGCUCGUUCCUCAUACAAAAUGGAGAGUUCCGGUCACUUGUUUAUUUUCCUCGCAUUAGAGAAUUAACAUAUAGUUCCUUCUCCAACCGGUGUUGUACAGAUGCUUCCCAUUAAUGGGUUCAAACACUAAAUCCCUCUCACUGAUGCACCUUGCAAUGGCUCAUACCUCUCACCUAGCACUUGCCAUUCAAGAUGAUCUUUAACCUUGGACUUCCCGUCAAAAGCUCGCAAGAGAUAACUAAUGGAUGUCUCCUUGGAGUCCAAAAGCUUACCAAGUGUUGGCUAUUCUAGAAAAUCCUACCUUCAAGUCACCUCCCAAAGGCUCGCAAGGGGUAAACUAGUGCAUCUCCAUGGACGGAGAUCACUUGCCUUACCAAGUGUUGGCCCAGGUGAUUUAAAGGCAUUUUAAGUUAACUAAAAAGAUAAAAACCAUUAACGGGUUACACUUUCUCUUCAUUAAAAACUAAAACAACAAAACUUUCAAAUUAUGCAUGUGGAAACUUACCCGGCUUUCCUCACUCCAAGAGACAAAAGGCUUAGCCUCUCAUCCUCUGAGGAAAAAUCCUCAGAGUUUGGUUGGCUAGAAAAUGAAAAUGAAAUGAAAAAUGAAAGAGAAGGAAAAACAGAGCAAGGCUCUGUAUAUUCUAUAUAUGAUCAAUAUUACGGAUUACAUAUAUGGUCCUCCUCUCUCUUUUACAGUGGAUGCAAGGGAAUAUAUAUAGAGGAGUUUUUCCAACCUUCCUAGCUAAGAAAUCUUGUGGUUGGUGGCUUACAAGGAGAAGAAUGGAAAUUUAUACAAAAAUAUCUGAAGAAAAAUAUCCAAAAGAGUCGGUGCACAAAUAUCAGGAAGCACUAAGGACAUUUCGCAGGUGAAAAUGGUGUCUGCGAGAUUUCGCAGACACUCAAGAGGGCUGCGAAAUAUUUUCGCAGACACUCAAGAGGGCUGCGAAAUAUUUUCGCAACAACAAGUUAAACUCGCAGGGCUGCGAAAUUGGCUUCCACCUUGAGGUUCUCAGCGUUCCAGCUUGCGGCAUGUAUCGGGUAGCUUCAGGAGGAAUUCCAUAGCACUGUACAAAAAGGCUGCGAAAUUCUCGCAACAAAAGGCUGAUUUCGCAACACUUUGGAGUGAUCUGCUUGCAAUGGCUGUAACUCCUUCGUUUCAACUCCGAAUCGUUCACCGUUUGAAGCAUUGGAUUCUUGACUUCCUGAGCUUUGAAAUGGUAUAUAGAAUGUAGAAAAUGGACUUCGGGAAGUGCUCCAAAAGUGCGCAUGAAGACUGCAGCUGCUUGUCCUCUGUUUUCUUCACUCUGUUUUUCCUCUCUCCUUGCUUCUCUCCUUGCAUACUUUGAACGACUUUGGCAAAGGGCUAUGGAGCUCCAAAGCUUGGUUCUUCAUGAAUUUGAGCUCUUCAUUGCUUUGCCAUGAACUAUAUACAAUUCUCCCUCAUUCUUGGAUUGUUUUGGUGAUCAAAUUACUAACAAAAACACCAAAACUUACACAAUUUGAUUAGAAAUGAUUGCAAGGGUCCUUAACAUGUUAAUUGGGUUAAAAGGCAAUAACUACUACUCAAAAGUGUUUAAAAGAGUUAAUUACAAGCUAUCAAAUAGCACUUUUUGAGUAGUAAUCAAUACGUGUCUUGUUAGUUCAACAAGGAUUGUCCAAAGUGCUAAAAGGUAGAGAGGUUUUAUUAAUAACAAAAUCUUAUGAACAGAAUAAUGAACUUAUGGAGAAAAUGAACAAUAUUAUUCUAUUAUCUUUUGGUAAUGAGGUACUUAGAAUGUUAUAGAAGAUGAUACAAUUGUCAAGUUAUAGUAGAAGUUAGAAAGUCUAUAUAUGACUAGUUUCUUAUUAUUCACUUAUAUUUGAAGAAACAAUUGUUCACUCUCCAUAUGAAAGAAGGUACAUCCAUCAAAGACGACAUUUAUGAAUUUUAAUUAUAGAUUUGAGGAAUACUAAUAUUAGAAUUGAUGAUGAAAACUAAGCCAUAAUUUAAAUUGUUCUCUUCCAAAUUCUUAUGAGUACUUUGUGGAUAUCAUGAUGUAUGGUGAAAAUGCUAUCUCCAUAGAGCAUGUUAAGGCAGCCCAGAACUUAGAGAAGUUAAAGAAAAGGGCCUUUGAGAGUGGAGAAAAAGGCUUAGAUGAAGGUUUGGUGGCUAAAGGAGAAUAGAGAAGAAAAAUAUUGGCCAAAAUUUUUUAUUUAAAUCUAAAUCGAAGUUCAAGAAAUAACGAGUGUUUCAAUAACAACAAGAAAGAGCACUAUAUGAGAAAUUGUCCAAAACAUAAAAGAAAAGGAAAAGAGAAAGCUUGUAAUUUUGGCUAUGCAACAAUAAUUGUAGAAGAAAAUUUGGAUAUUGCAUAUGACAUUUUAGUUAUGGUUUCUGACUCAAGUGAAGAGUGGAUCCUUAACUCAAGUUGCUCCCAUCAUAUGCCUCGCAAUAGUGAUCAGUUUGGUGCCUACAAAUGUAUUGGUGGUGAAAAGAUUUUUAUGGGAAACUACAUAGCCUAUAAGGCUGUUGGGAUAGACACAAUUUAUAUUUAGAUGCAUGGUGGCUUUGUAAGGACAUUAAUUCAAGCAAGGCAUUUUCCAAAGUCAAAUAAAAUUUUGAUUUCUCUAGGGAUGCUUGACUCUAAUAGAUACACAUAUAAAUCCAAAAGUGGAGUUACUAGAAUCUCAAAGGGUGCACUUGUUGUGAUGAAAUGACAAAAAAAUUAAUGGUCUCUAUACAUUGUAGGAUAGCACGAUUACAAGUACAGUGGCAAUUUUAACCUCUAAAUUAAUUUUAAUGACUACUACAUAAUGGUAUAUGCGACUUAGGCAUAUGAAAAAGAGGGGUUGACAAUUUUGAGAAAACAGGGUUUGCUUAAUGGACAAAAAAUGGGAGGAUUUAGAUCUUUGUGAGCACUAUUUGUUUAGGAAACAAGGAAAUUUGGUUUUAUGCCCUGGUAUUGGGGAUAGUAAUAUCAAAUCAACCCAAUGGUUAUGCCCGAUGUAAGGAUUUGUUCUAACAAAAUGGCUAUGCCUUGGUAUGAGGAUUUAACCAUGACAAAAUGAUUAUGUCCUAAUGUGCUCCAAUAACUCCCAAUCAAUUGUUGUGCUCCAUGGGGACAAAUUUACAAUCUAUAAACUCAAUUAACCAAUCUCAAUAAUCAUCAACAUGGAGGCUAUGAAGCACGAUGUAUGAUGCAUGGCUUCACAAUGGUCUUAAGACUUAGGAUAAAGUGUUAACUAAGGAUAAGGAGAAAAGAAAAUAACAUAAACUAGGCUUAAAACCCCAAUAAGUGACCUUAUGCCUCUUACGUAUACAUAAUGUGUAAAAGAUAAGCAAACUCUAAGGUCAUAGAAUACACAAACACUCUCUAAUACAUUUCAUGAUUUUAUUUUAUUUUCUCUUUGCAUCUUUUUUUUUUUUCUUUUCCUUUCUUUCUUUUGUUUUUCUUUUAUAUCACAUCACUAAAUCAAGAAAAUAAAGCAUGGAAACUUAACAUAAAAUGGUACUACUAGUAUGACAAAAUAGGCGAAGCAUAUCAAUCUAAAAUAAAAAUGUCUCUCCCAACCAUGAUAAGGAAAUACUAAAAUAUGAACAAACCAUGGAGUCCACAACCAAGGAGGUUUUAUCGAUAUAUUAGUACAUAUAAAGAAGCCCAUCAAUCCUUAAGGUACAAAAAUAAGUGAAUUAAGGUGAUGAAAGAUAAGUGAUGCGAAAAGGCAAAAAGGCCUAAUUCACUAACAAGGGGCAACUCAAAAUGUAGGGUGUACAAUGAGGAGGGUGCAUAAAAUGAUGGUCACCCAUCCUUUGGCCACAACCUUAAAUAUAGUACUCUUAAGCUAAUCCACGUUAGUUUUAACAAUUGUUUUCCAUGUAUCUAAAUCCAUUAACCAUAUUGUCCUUUCUCAAGCCAUCUUCAUUAUUUCAUAAGGUCAUCCUAAGUCAGGAAAGCAAGCUCUAUGCAAGAGAAAAAUUCUUACAGCCUAGAUCGAACCUCAAUUGAGAAAGGGUGACCAAUUUCCAAUUGAUUGAGCUAGUUCAAGUCUUUCCUUGGUCAGUUGGACCUUUUAGGCACAAAAUCGAUCUUUUUCUUACUAAAAGCUUUCUAAUACUUAAGCAUUGUCUUUGUGAAACUAUGUACCUCAAUUAUAAAGGGUUUUGUCUAAAGGUUUUGAAUUUUAACUUAGUUUCAAGAGAGAUAAGAACAUUUAGUCUCACCUUUAUGAAAACUAAGUAUAGAGGAAUGCAUAAAAAAACAUGUUUAGAACCUAGAUUCACCCAAGAUAUUCAUCUUACAAAGGUUAUCCUAAUCUUAAAGGGCCUUCACGCAACCAAAGUUUCGCAUUUCUUGAAUUUCCUUGAGCAAGCAUGUCUUUUUAUUUUUUUUUUCUUUCUUGUUAUAUACUUGAAACUUAGCUUGAUUUAAAAUUAUUAAUGCACUUAACUAUGUUUUAUGAUCAUCAAAACUAAAUUAGGAAAACCCUUGGACUAACAUACUAUACUCUUAGAUUUCAUGUGGAAUUCAUCCGUUGAAAAUGAAAGUUCAUUAUAAAAGGUGAAUCUAACUUUUCAAAAGACAAAUUCAAUACAAAAAGUGAAUGCGUCUUCUAAAAAGACUGAGUUCAAUAUGAAUAGAAAACAAUUUAUCAAAAAACCCUACUAGUAGAACUACGUAAAUAUUUACAAGGUCAAAGUGUGUCCCUACAAAGUCAAGACAGCACAAUGAUGACAGCCUGAUUUAGUUGAACACGUGAUUGUGUUUAUAUAUAGUAUCACUUGAUACCAAUAUGAGUAUAUUUGUUUAUUUCCAUUUACGAAUUAUUCCUUGUAUCUAUGUUUGAAAUAUAUUAGGAAAAAAUAAUAGAGGAAAAGUGAAAGGAAAUGAAAUGAUAAGAAAAAAAAAAUUUGAGGUUCUUCGAGAAAAAAUUGAAAACUAAAAUAAAUAUGAAAAAUAAUAUUCAACAUCAAUACUUCAUAAUUAUCAUUACAAAAAUAUUUCUAAAUUUAUUUUCUUACUUUAAUUUACAAUUGAAAUUACUUAAAAUAAAAAUCAAGUUAAGCACAUAUUUAUUCCGAUGCACUCAUAUUUACUAAACAGAUAAAGUUUCCAUACCAUUCAUCCUCAAAUAAAUUAUCUUUAACAUAAUUCUUUAUUUUAAAUAAAACCCAGAACGGUGGGUCUGGAAAUGCCUCAUUUGAGGACGUUCUGUUCAUGAUGUUACAAACAUUACAACGGUUUCCUUUGUUUUUUCCCCCUUUUUCUUUUGGAGUUGGCAUUUAGUCAAACACACGAUGAACUGAAUUUAAAUUCCAAUUGAUAACAGCAAUCGAAAGCACAAAAAAUCUAUUGGUUUCAAUACACGAAAAUUUGUAUUGUAAGAUAUCCUAAAACUCUGCACAUUUCAUAAUCAAAACUAAAACACUGUCGGUGGUACGCAAUCCUGUACCAUGUCGUGUGACUCCAUGUUUUCUCAUAGAAAGGGUCCAUCAUUGCAUAAAGAUGGUCAUCUGGUAGCUUAAAGAGAUGCCAAUGUUAUAUCAUCUCACUAUACUCCACACAAAGAUUUAUAAAAAAUUGCAUAUGAAUCAACCAAUUAUACAAGAGAGUCAUAAAAUGUGCAGAAACUGUCGUGAUACGGAUCUUGGAACAUAAGUUAUUGUGUGUAAUAAUAAUUUUUGGAUUGCAUGUAUAUGAUCCUAGAAAACAAAAGGUUUUGAUGUUCUCAAAUAUUGGGUUUCUAGAGAAAUGAUCAUAGACUGAAAGUCUAGAUCAAAUGUCAGCAUGGAAAGAAAGUCACAUACCAUGCAGUCAUAACUCGUCCUGAAUGAGAUCCUCUUGUUUAAUUAUUAAACCAAUGGGAAAACUCAGUCUUUCAAGCUUAAGAAUGCCAAAACCUUAAAGAGAUUCAUGCUGUACAAUAUUAACAUAAAGUUUGACAAAUGUGUUUCUGAUAAGGCCGCUGCCGAUCUCUUUGAAGAGACAAAAACGUGAUCUCUGAAUGAUGUAUGGUAGAAAACACUCUUGAGAUAGCAAUUUACAGCAUAUACUAGAAAACUAUACCAUCAAAAUAUCAUGACUUGCUGGAAUAGGCCAGAGUGAGGAGUAGACUUAUCAGAUGGUGCCUGUUGAUGAACUUGCUUUCUGAAUCUGUUACACAACAUUGACUGAGAUGAAUAUAUGACAUAAAAGAACAAUAUGAAUAUGAAGGAAUAAUGGUGCUAGAGCAGAGUAUUAGACCUGAUUCACAAGCAGGUUUAUCUGCUCUCUAUACAUUUCUUUCAAGUCCACAAUAUCAACACGGAGUUCUUACAGCUGCACAAAUAUAACCACUUUCAAAUGUCGAGGCUUGAUAGAAAAGAAAAAACGCCAUUUUGAUUCCAUUGUUCACAUAGAAGGUAGAAGGUAGAAGGAAUUAAAAAAAUUUCUUUUUCUCUCUCUGCUCCACUUACGUUGUGAGCAUGUGAUUUCUUGAUUACCAAGCAUCCUGUUCCAUAAAACACACUUCGUCCCAUUUCAUCUGUAUAAAGUUUUACUUUAAGCUCCCAUGAACAGAUAAAACAAAGGAAAAGAAAUGAGAACUUAGGAAUCUCAUUACGGGAUGGGGUUGGAUUGGCUGUUGUAAGAUUCAGGAAGGUCGCUUUUAUUUUACCACAAUUUAUUGGCAAUUAGACAAAGCACAAAUUUUGGGAACUCUCUCCACCUUAGCCAUCCAACUCUCUUUCAAUAAUGAAUAUCCUCAUCAAUUUAACCCUCAUUUGUUGUACUCUCUCUCUCUCUCUCUCUCUCUCUCUCUCUCUCUCCUUGGCGGACUCCAUGCCCUAUAAAACAUCUAAAUUAUAUAUACAUACAAUAAAUAAUAAGCAUAAAUGAAAUUAUAACUUUCACAAAAUUAAUUUAGGUUAUCAAGCUUGCUUACAUGAAUCCCCUUAACCUCUUUACAUACAUGGAUUGUGUUUCUUUUAAUUCAUUAUAAGAAAAAAAAAUUAUAUUAAUUAUGAAGUGUUUUCGAAAUAAAAUAUAACAUAUUAUUCUAAUGUAGAUAAGAAGCUCUCCAUUGUCAUCCCUAUGUUGCACCUUAAGAGCAUUACUUCAAAAAAGACCUCAUAAAGAAUUCAUCAAAGUAAAACUAGAUAUACAAAAUAUUUCAUUAAGGAGACCAAUGAGUUGAAGCUAAAUAAAUAAAUUCGUACUCCAUCAACAAAAUACCUGAACUACAAUUUCAACUAACAUAUUAUACUUUCCCUAAAAUAAGGAAAAAAAUGUACUUAAAUUUUUUUUAAAAGUUUGAUUUUUUAUUCAACUACAUAUUGUAUUUUUAGUAUAAAUUAACAGUUAAAUUAAAUCUUUAAUAAGCUCAUAGACUCUAAGUGAAUAAAUAUGCAUUAAACGCUUAUUAAAGUGUAUAUAUGAGUUAGGGUUGCUCCGUAUGGACAUUUAAUGGUGAACUCUUAAAGCAUUCUUGAAUGCAAGAAUAAGUCCUAUAAUGCACAAUAAAAUAAAAUAAAAAAAACCAAGGUCCAAACACGAUGAAAACCAUCAUGGUAUCACCAUGUCAUAAUCAAAAUUUUAUUUUUAAUUUCUUAUAUUUUUAUUUAUUUAAGUAGUUUUUAUUUUUUUUUUCCAGUUCCUUUGAUUUUUGUUUAUUUUGAUAAUAAGAGGAGUUUGUAAUUUACUUAGAUGAGGUAUGAUAAAAAUCCUAAGAAGUAUAAACUUAUUUUUAUAUUUUAUUUCAACAAACCCAUGAAAUAUGACAUUGCUUGAUUUAAGAUAGCAUAAAAAUCUUAUGUAAUUAUAAAAGUAAAUAAUUAAAUUAUAAAGUUAUAGUACAAAUAGAAUUCUAUCUUAUUAGCACUUAAGCCCUUACUCCUAGUUGUCACAAUCAUUACCUUUUGCUCCUUGCUCUCAUAUAGAAUGAUAGCCUUGUUUUUUUUUUUUUUUCCCUAUAUCCUUGAUAGAAGACCGCUUUGUCUAAUAAGUGCAACUCAUUGCACUGAACAAUAUGAAGAUAUAUUAUUGAAAAAUAUUGAAAGUUGGAUCUCUUGUUUAUUAAUAUGAUAAACAAAUAUUUUAGAAAAGAUAGAAAAAUACAAACAUGUUGAGGAGAACACAAAUUUAUGAACCCAUAUAUAGAAUAGUCAAACUUUUGUAUUUCCCUACUGGUAUUAGUUGUGGUCGAUCAAUAAUAAGCCAUCUAGAGUAACUUUUAGCAAUAAUUUGAUUAAUAUUUAAUGCUUAAAACAAAUCAAGAACAAGGGAUAGCAAGAAGUCAAACCUUAACAUGCACCUCUUCUAUGUAGAGGCUACUAAUAGGCAAUGAAAGAGCAACUACUAUUAUGAUUUUAUAAUAGCUUAGGGGAUUUAGACUCAUUUAAAUUUUAAUAAGCUAAGUACACUAUGUAAUAUAAUCAUCAAUAAGAAAAAUACAACUUGCAUAAUGAAAAUAAUUAAGAAACCCAAUCAAAAUACUAAAUAUUAACCAAAUAUAUAUUCAACCUAAAAGUUCAAGAAGUAGUUGAGUGUUUUCUGAAAUAAAUGAUAGAGCAGUUAUGCAAUUUUAAUAAAUUUAUGCUAGAUCUAAGGAGAAAUUAAAAAAAUAAAUAUAUUGUGAUUUAGCCUUUGUGAUUCAACCUUGAGGAAUGAUAAAUUAGGAGCAGUAGAAUUAGAUCAAUCAGAAUAGAAUAGUCAUAGACAUUUCAAAAAUAAUAAAAAUAGUAACAAGAGUUUAAUUGUACUCACUUUUCAUCACAUACUUAGAUGGUGGAGUAGAACACUCUAUCCCUUGCUAUCUUUCACUAUUUCUCUCUCUCUCUCUCUCUCUCUCUCUCUCUCUCUCUCUUUCUCUCCAAGUUGGGAAGAGAAGAGUGAUCUAUAAAUAGAUAGAUGAAUAUAUUAAAAAAGAAAAAUUAUAAAUUAUAAUUAAUAAAUGAAAACAUGAAGAAGAGAGAUAAGAUGUUGUGACAGUGUCUAAUAUUUCUAUUAACAUUCAAUUAAAAUUACAAUUCAAGAUAGAGAAAACAUGGAAAAUCAUUCACUAACACUAUCAAAUUCCUAAGCCAAAAUUACUGUUAGUAUAGUUUAAGUUAGUAUUUUGAAUCUUUAAGGCCCAUUCAUCUCCUACAUCAUUAAAACAAGCCAAAUAAUUGUUGCAACCCCCAAAUUAAGAAAUAGAGAGAAACAUCAAUUUGUUAAAGUUAAUGGAAAUUUAAUUUGAAUUCUUCAUUAAUAAAAAUUAAAAAAAAAAUAUUCACGAGUGAUAUAUUUCCAAAUAUGAUAUAACAUCAAAAAUUAAAAGUGACAAAUCAUAAUACCCCAAAACAAUAAAAGGAUAAAUGAAACAUGACAUAAACAUUAACUAACCCAAAGUAAAUAUUCAACAAGAUGAAAAUUUACUUGAGCAAAAUUAUCAAGGACAAAGAAGGGGAAGGUAGUUGGGUUGAGAAUGGUGACCCUUUAUUAUACUAUGAAAGCAACAAUGAAUCAACUUCUUCACAAGCAUGAUGAUGUUCAGAAAAAAGCAUCUCAAGUUUUGACUUUAAAAUUUGAAAGAAAAGCAAUUAGCUAUGAACAUUAAGUUGGGUUUAAUCAUACUUAAUAUUAUAACUAUGAAAUUAUUAUAACUAAGGUAAUAGAACUUACUUUUUAUUUGGAGUUAGAUUUUUCCAACCUUAAUCUUUGGAAUGAGAAAAAAAUGGUGUUAGAAAUUAGAGGAGUUGAAACAAGGAGCAAAUUAUUCUCAAUAACUCUUACAGAACCUCAUAGGAGUAAAGUUUGAAGAAUGAAAGUUUUAAGAAAGGAUUUGGAUUAGUACAAUGUAAAGAUCCAGACACAUUCAAAGUUUUAAAGAAGAUUGGUCAAUUGAGUAAAUGUGAUUUAUAGUUAUUAGGUUAAUGCAAAUGAGCUAGUUGGGCACUUACUUGGUUGGGAAAGUGAUGAAAAGUAUGACUCCUAGUUGGGUAAUUACAUGGUUAUUUAGGAGAAAACUUAAUUUUAAAUAAAAUAAAUAAAUAAAUAGUUUUUGUGAGAUUUUAUAUGAAACUUGAGAAAUAGUAAGAAAAAGAAAAUAAAUAAUACAAAGGCAAUUUAAUUUUUUAUUAAGUUGGUUUCAAAGAUAUAAAGAAAAAUGAAAUAGAAUUUUUAUUAUUUUUUUGAGAAUUUAUACAAUUUUAGAGUAAGAAAAUUGGAGGAUUGUGGUAGAAAAAUAAGAAUUUAAUUUAAAUUUUUAUUAUAUUUUUCUUCCCUCCUUUAUUUUCGUUUUCAUGUUUUUUUUUCUCCUUAUACUUGGUUCAAAUUUUCUAUGAAUUAAAUCUAAGCAUAAAAGUUUUUUCGAUACAUACAUAUAUAUAUAUAUAUAUAUAUAUAUAGAUAAUAGUGAAGAAAUUUAAUAUUUUAAUCCUAAUAAAUUUAAUAUAAAGUUGAGUUAGAAAUUAUUGUAAAAAACUAAGAGACGAAAAGAAAAUAUUUAUUUACUUAACUAAUAACAUAAAUUUUAUAAUUUUCUUUUAAUAAGUUCAAUUGCUUUCCCUUUUGGUGCAAUUGUAAAUAGAAAAAACACGACAAUAGUUUACACAAUAUGUAAAAGAUAAUUAAUUAUUAGUACAAAUAUAUUUUAUGAACAAGGAAAUUAAUUUGAAAAUACAAGCAGCAAUCCAUCUAUAUCUGAAUUAGAAUUAUAAAAAAAAAAAAAUAGAACAAAGAAAGAGGAAAAAAUAAAAUAGACAAGCAUGAUGAAUAAAUGGAAACACAAUAUCAAAUAAUAAAUAAAUAAAUAGAAUAACAAAAUCAUUGAGAUGAAUUAGUAAGUAUUAUCUUUUUUAUUCUUAUAAAUAGGUGCUAAAAAAAUUUUCACUACCACAUACAAUAAUUAGUCAUGGAUGAUAGGAGGUCUUUUUGUUAUUUAUGCAACAAGAUUUCGAAACAAAACCAAUAUUGCACCUAUAACUUAAUUCAAAUGUUGCUUAGUAACAACAAACAACUGGAUGGUAGAAUUUGACUUUUUCAAUGAGAAAACACUUUCUCAAAUGGUAGGAAAUAAUUUUUAAUUACUAAAACCUCAAACUAAAAAGGAAAUAAAAAUUCUACUGCCCUAACAAUUAAUAACAAAGGAAAGGGGUGUGCACUUUCUUGAUUAUUUGUUUUCAUUUGUAGACAUGCUAUUUGUUUGUAACCACUAGCUCCACUUGUGAAAGAAAGUUUUUAUUUUUUAUUUUUAUUUUUUUUAAUUUCUCUUCUUUUUGUGUGUGAAAAAUCCAAAUUCAUCUUCUUCGAUAUGGAUCAAAGUCUGACUUUUAAGCAUAAAGAAGCACUACAAACACAUGCUAACCAACCUCAGUAAUCAACAUAUAUGUAAAAAUAAAUCUAUCACAAAAUCCUAAAAAGAUAACAAGGGAUGUGGAGAAAAGCAUAUAUAAAAGUAAAAAAGAAAUCUUCGCAUUUGAAAUUUUUCCUAAAGCAUGAAAACAACUUUUUUUUGGAUGGCAAAGAUCAUGAACACAUUUUAAGAAAAAUAUUAUUUGUAUUUUGGAUAGACAACAAAAUUUUGUGGUCUUUUCCUUUUAAAAUAACUUUCUUGUUUAAUAUAGGAAAAUAGAGAAUAACUAUAAAAGAAAAUGGUUUAUGAGUUUAUAGAAUUUAAAAUACAACAAUCCCAAAUAUAUCUAUCUGUAGAGUUUCAAGUAAAAAAUUAAGAAUUUAUAAGAAAAUCAAGAACUAUAAUUGAUAAUAUGAAAUAGGCUCAAACCCCAUAUUUAAGAUAAUAUGAAAUCAACAGAAUGGUAGGGUUUAUGUAAUUUGUUGUCCCUGGAUGCCAAGAAAACAAAUUGAAAUUUUGAAGAUAAGACCUCUUUCUAUCACUUGGGAACCAAUUCAACUAUAACUUUCCCUCAAUUGGACUAAUUCCAUAUACUUAAUUCAAAACAAGUAUUUAUCAUUUAGAAAGCAAGCCAUAUAGUUUAAAAAAUAAUAGUAAAUAGAAAGAGAUUAAGUCCUUACAUUUUGAGUUUGUUGGUAGGAAUAAUUGUUCUCAUACACAGCCAUGACACAUGCUUCUGCACGCAACCUAUCAUUCUCCUCAACUAAUAGCUCAUUCAUGGUUGUUAGAUUCUUAUUCACAACUUGGAGGCAUGAUGUCUCAUUUCUCUGUUUUUCCCUGCAUCUAUAGAAAUAAAGAAACAAAAUCAGCCCAAUUAGAAACUGUUAUAAGAGAAUUAGCAAAACCAUAAUAUUCUUUUUGUUGAACAAGAAGAUAGAAAGGAAAAGAAUUGAGAGUCUGAUCAAUGUUAGCUUUGCAUUAUCUAGUACUUGGAAAAUAAAAACCAUCCAUUAACAAAUCCUGUUAUGACUAUUAAUGGAUGACUUGAGAAAUUUAAAAGAUUCAAAAAUAAAUUUCUUUCCUUUCCCUCAAUUUUCUUGGCAGCCAAAUAGAGGGUAAAAGACACUCAAAUUUCUAUACAACUUUCUAAGAACAUUUCACUGAUGGAAAAUUAAAUAAAAUUUUGAAUCUCAAAUUUAUCAGUUAUUUAAGAAAGCCUACACUCGAUUGAGUUUUACAGAACCAUAUAUUAUAUAUAUUAUUUUCAUUCUUCAUUUCCAAAGACUAGAAUAAAACUUAAUUUUUUUCUUCUAAAUUUUCCUAGAUACCAAAUGAUAAAAGACACCCAAAAAUUCAAAUUCAAAGAUAUAUCUUCAUCACAAAGAUCAAACUAAAAUAAAUUCAAUAAACUGAUAUUCAAUAAAAGCAAAAACCCACAUCAAAUCACAAGAAAAAACUUGAUUUCAUAAACAUUCAGACUAAAUUCCAUCAAUAGCAUUCACCCAAACCUAAAAACAACAAAUCAACAAAAUAACACUCACCCAAACCCAAAUUCAAUGAAUGAAAGAAAGAUGUGAAAGAGGUUGGAAAACCAUAAUCAAAGGUGCUGGUGAAGUAAUGAUAAUCAAACAACAGAGAAAACAACAUUACACAUAAAAGAAAGAAAACAAAGGAAGAAAAGGACGAACCUUGCAACCCAAAGAUUAGAACCUGAAAAAGUCGAGGAAGCUUCGACAGCAAAUCUCUUGGAAAAACCAAGAACUCCUCACCUUAAAUCUUCUCAAACCCUCACAACUCCAAAAACCCUAACAUACAUAACUUCAAAAACUUGAUCUCGCAGAACUCCAAAAACUCUUAGUAGAAGAAUAAUGCAAUAUAACCAAUAGAAAUGAUUCCAAAAUUUUUGACAAAAGAUACAUAAAUAAAUUAAAGAUUCAGAGGAUCAAACCACAAUGAUGGCUAUUGUUGGCAUCAAUGAACUCUCCAUUUGGGUUCUUGGUAGUGGUAUUAGCUUAUGGAGGGCCAAUGAUGGAAACUGAGGAAGGUAAUGGCCGAUGAUGGAGUUUGAGAUGGUUAUUUAUUGGAUUCGUCCAGUUUAAUUUUUGGUGUGUGGGAUUCACGAAAACAAGGGUUUCAGAGUUUUUCAAGGAUGAUGUAUGAAGGUGAUGCUAGUGUUGUUACUGCACUUUCUCGGUGAAAAAUCAAUUGUAGCUUGCCAAUGAAGUCAUCAAACAACUUACCAGUGGAAGUUUCUGUGUGGGUAUCGAGUUGAGGGUGGAGUUUGUGGCUAUUGGUUAUUUUAUUUAAUGGGUGAAAAAGGGAUUAAAUAUAUAAUGAAAAGAAGAUGAUGCUUCCUAUAAGCGCCCAGGAUGACCAAACAUGCCUCAAUGAUGCUUCAAAAUGCACCAUUAUUUAGAAACGCCAUCAUCUCUCUCCAUAAAACGCCAAGAAUAUGCAUCCUGCCCCAAGCGCGAACAUUAACUAGUUAUAUUGAUAAACAAUGAUACUUUUUAGAAGCGACAUGAAAUCAAGCGUCAUUAAUUUGAUUUUUUUGUACUAGUGUACGAACCUCGUCAUUCUAUCAAAUGUCUCUCAUUCUUCUUCAUAUAUUUAUCUAACUAUCAUGUAUAAUCUUCACAAACCCAUUUCCUUCCUAUGUCUUUUCCCCCUCAUGACCUAGAAUAUUUAUAGAGAUACUCGUAAUAAAUAUUUUGAUUUUGUAAGGAGAUGUAAUAUUUCAAUGACAUAUCAAUAUGGAAAAUAUUAUCUACAAUAUUAUUCUUUAUAAAAAUAUAUAAGCACACACUAGUUAGGAAUUUAAGACAGUUUUGUAAGAAGGUAUAUGCCUAAAUCCAAUGUAACAUAAUGGCAAGAAACAUAGAAAGUUUGAAAUUGCACUAAUUAUUAGUUCACAUACCAUGAGCAGAACUAAAUUGCAGGAGACAUUAAAAUUUAAGAUUACAACUUGAAUAGUCUCGGCAAAAGGUUUCACCCUUUCACUUGGUAUCUAUUCUUUAUUUAUUAUAUCGGUUCAAGUACCCGAUUAUUCCAUCAAUACUCAAGGAGUGUGCUCAUGGUCCACCCAUGAGGACAGGAUCACUUAUCGAUUUCUUUCUUAAUAAAUCUGCAAAGGCUGGCCCUAGAGACAUGUGAUACCACCAUUGUCUUAGUCCAUGAGCCUCCAAAAUACUGCAUGAGGAUGAGCUCUCGCUAAUGGUUAGAUAUGCUUUAGGAAGUAGCUGUGUGGAUAGUUGUGGAUUCAUCCCAACUGCAGCUUUUAAUACACCCAAUGUUGGCUGCAGUACAGCAACCCUCCCUAUCAUCCCAGCUCCAAACUGCUUCUCCACAUUGUUCCUAUUUCUAAAAUGCCCUAUAUACUCUGAGCAAAUAGGAUCGUGUCGGUUCACAAACAGGUUGGGGAUCCAAGAAGACAAUGCAUUAAAUUGGUCAUAUUGGCCCUGCCUCACAUGACCACCUCCAACAAAUAAGGUCCCAAAAUUACACAAAGUCUCCGUCAAGCGCAUUGCAUCCUGCAAAUAUUGAUUGCCAAUAAUCUUCAAGAGGACAUUCCCCAAGAGAGGUGGAUUGAAAAGGAAAGCUUCCAUACAUUUACCCUCCUGGGCCAUGGAUUUUCCAACCAUCAUCGCAAUGGAUGACCCGAGGGAAUGUCCUGCUAACCAAAUAUUUGCAGACCCAGCUUCUUGAACAACUUGUUGGACAGCUUCCAGUGCGGGUUUAAAGCGGUGUCUGUCCAUGUGAAGUACAUCAGUCAAGACCUUGAUAUUCAACUUGAGAUCCCGUUUUGCGGUGCUCAGUUUGAGGAUUGUGCCACGAAAGGCGAUAACAUACUUUGGGGCGCAUUUUGGCAAAUGGUUAAGGUAUGUGUGCUUGAUUUCAUAAACGGCACCGUAGAUGGAUGAAUCUUUAUCAUCUACGAGCGCACGUUUUAACUGAAAAUGAAAGAAGUUCCACCAACGGGAAGACUGAACUUGGGGAUCUCGGGAUUCCUGGCUAUCAUAUUCUGAAUUGUAUGCUCCCUCAACCAGGCUCGCAACAACUGCCCGACGGUGAUGAUUAUUUGUCCUGCAAUAUUGAGGAAUAGUAAAUGAAUCCUCAUAAUAAAUCUACCCUUUCACAAAUACAGCAAUUAACUUAUCUAGAAAAUCUUGUCAAUGUUGAUCCUCAGGCAAUCUACAACACCUUCAAGAUGCAUGCUGAGGCAGAAUUCACCAUUUUCUUAUAAGAGUUUUAGGUCACAUUUAAAAACUAGUAAUAUUACCAUACUUUAGAUUGGUCUCUGUGUGUAACCAAGGACAAAAACCGAGCCUCACCGAUUCAGUCAUCCAAUUUUCUUUAAGCGUUUAGGUAAAGGGUCUCAUGGUUCGAUCCUGUAGGGACCCCUCCCCUUGGGAAACACGUGGCACGUGUUAUCAGCCGGACCAUCAUCAUCCGGAUUCCCCUAAGGAUAUGCAUGGUGCGGUUAUCCUAUCCGGACCACCUCAGGGAAAGGCAAACGACGUUUCAGCUUCUCCUAUCCAAGGAAGAGCAAACGACGCUGGCAGAGCGUAGACAUCCGGAUAGUCUCCACAACACAUCCGGAUAAUCAGCAUGAGUCAUCCGGAUAUAAAUCGUCUGGAUGGUCAAUUAAAGUAAAGCGAGUCUUACACGCAAUCACAACAAGCAGCCAUGGCCCACAUCCCAUCACCUGCAGAAUGAGAAGACAAGAGGAAGUGACAGCAAGUCACUUCCCACGAUCAUUCUACAUAAUCACUUCCCACGAUCUCUGACAGACGCAUCACCUACCAUGGUCUCUGACAGCCAUUCGUAGGAUGAUAGUGCUCCUACUGACACCUAUUAUCAUCAUCACAACAUAAAAUAUCUCCUCACCAUUAAUGAAAGGAGCAGUACCCCUGAAGCUGUAUAUAUAUGCCUUCACACGAAGAAGAAAGGGAUCCCCCUGGUGACCUCUUGAUACCUAGUAAAAGGCCAACUGAUUUAUAUAUCUCUCUCUCACCAUGGCUAACAAAACCAUCGGAGGGUGCGUCCGGACACCCUGUCCGGAUGCCUUUUUGCAGGUACAACCGCUGAAUCAAGAACCCUUUGUGUGUUGAGAAUCGCGUGUCCAUCCAUCUAGCAGCAACGUGGUCCACCUGAUACGCGAGGUGACAACAGAUCCCAUUGCUUAUUCUUAUGUAUAUAUUGAAAAAUGGAAAAACUUAUGCAUUAUGUGAAAUGAGUAUGCAUGUAGGAAAAUGGUUGUACCAGUCAACUUCAGUGAGCUGUUUGGGUCCUGUGAGGUCGAAAUGUCCCCUUUCAAUAGCCAUUUGUCUGUGUGUGCUUCCCUUUCAAGUUUCGAGAUAUAUGCUGCUGGGCACAUAGGAGGGGAAAAAAUCCAGAAAAUGAGUGGCAUACCAAGAUGAAAUCAUAGAGAAAAAAAUCCCGAAAAUGAAGGUUAAUCAUCAGAAACAAACUUAAAGGCACGAUGGAACCUCCAUGGGAAUAACAUCAAAACUUUUGAAUCAACACUUAGUCAUUCUUGGGAACCCACGUCAAUAAUGGAAAUCCAAAAAUUAUCUUUCUAUGUAUCAUAACAUUAGCAAUGAAUCUUUAUACACAUACACAUCAAUAUAUAGUAUCAAAAUAUUAGCAAAAAGUUCAUAUUUAGACGUUCUCACUCACAAAAAUCUGCAAACAUCACAACAUCAUAAUGAUAACAGUUCAUAGUAUACACCAACUGUAUCAAAAUGUUGGCGAAAAUCCAUACUUAAAGUAGCACCCAGAAGCUUCUGCAAAUAUCAUAAUAAGAAAAAAGAAGAGGAUCAAAACCUUACUCGUACCAAAUAUUUUGAAUCCAAAGGAAGCCUUGCAAAGCCUUCGAAUGAGGGGAGUUAUUUAUAAGCAUGCAAUGCAAUGCAUGCAAGCUGCUUACAAGAUUUAAAAGCCACGAGGGGAAUCUACCUAAAGCUGGUCAGUUGGAUGGAAAUAACGGUGAGAGACCAACUGAUAUGGGAGAGCCAUUGAAAUGGUGUCCUUUUAAUUCUCUAUGUCAUGUGGAAUAAAGCCGGCAAGACUAGCUUUAGAAAACGAUAACAUGUCCAUGGAAGAAAAUAAUGGUCCAAAAAUGCUGAAAAUGACCUCUAGUUAAUGAGACAAGGUCAAGUCAACAAUUUAGGAAGAUGGCAAGGAAUCCAAUAUUAAGCUUGCUCUACUUUUUAAAAUCCCUCCACUUAUAACACACCCAAAUGCAAAUUGGCUUCCUUUUUUUCCAUUUACUAGAAUGAAUUCUUAAAACAAAUCCAUGAGUGUUUCUCCUUGUAAGAAGAAGAAAACCUCUUAAAAGCAAUUAAAGAAACACCAUGACAUGAUUGAUCAACGUAAAAGAUACUUAAAAAUGCAUGUUUAUCUUUACAAUCUACAGAAUAUCAGAAAGUAUUCCCUCUCAUUCAACUCAAUUUGAUGAUACCCUCUCAAAUUCACAUUACAUUUAUCAUUGAACGUUAACAGUAUACAAAUAUCAUAAAUUUUUUAUAAGAAAAAGGAGGAAACAUGACACAUGAAUGCUUUAAAAAGAGAAGUAUUCCAAAAAUGACACUCAAAAUUAAUUCUCUAAAAAUACUCUUAUGCCCCAAAAGGGUUAUGAAAAGUAUAGUAAAAGGAAAAGUGAAAGGGAAGAAUGUUAAGGAGGAAAAAAAUAUAUAAAUUACAUUUUUAAAUAAUUUUGGUAAUAUUUUAUUUUGCUUAAUAUUUUUAUGAUAAAUUAAAUAGAGAAUUUGGGUUCUUUUGGCUAUGUUUGGUUCUCGAAAAAUUUGACAAUGGUAGAAUGCACAAAGAUAUAUGAACAAGAUGAGAAUGGUGUGAAUCAAAAAUGACCAGACAUCCUUUAUACUUGUCUAGAUUAAAUCUUACAAGCUUUGUAUGUAUUAACAACGAGUUAUUGGAUGAAAUUAAGAUCAUCUAGACCUCCUAUUUAUAUGCAAAGUGCUUCAUCAUUUAUCAUUAAUUGAUCUUCAUCUAAUAUUUCUGGUUUCCCAAAAUCUAGAUGGAGACCUUAAAUAAAUCCUAGCAUCUGUGGACUAGGUUUCUUUUUGGAUCCAUAUACCAAGUGUUACUUGUUGUCUAUAUAUUCUAUUUGACUUUUUUAAGUGUGUAGAUUAUUCAGCCAAGGGAACAACGUGCAAUCUAGAUUCAACCAAGGGAAAAACGUGCUAAGGCCCACUUAUUAAUAAGUCUAUAGGCAGUUAAGCCAAUGUUGAAUGGGUUAACCGCAUGAGAAGAUUUGGAGGUGAACUAUUCCAAUUUAAAAUAAUUUUUGGUUUCAUAUAUAUUUUGAGCAAAAAUUUUCAACUGCUCGAUCUUUUUGCAAUAAAGUAAGCAAUUUUCUACAAAUAUUUAAAUAGAGGGACUAGUUCAUCAAUGAAAUAUUUGGUUAAAAAAAAAUGUUCUUUGUUUCAUUAGAAAUGUCGUUUCCCCUCAGUGCCAAAUCAUUAAUUUUCCUCCCAAUUUUUUUUACCUAACUCCCUCUCUAAGUCUACGCUCUCUCAAGGGAUAAAAAUCAGCCUUUGAAUCUCAAAUAUUUUAUAAGAAAAAGGAGGAAACAUGACACAUGAAUGCCUUCGAAAGAGAAAUUUUUCAAAAAUGAUACUCAAAAUUAAUUCUCUGAAAAUGCUCUUAGGCCUGAAGGAUAAUGAAAAGUAGAAGGAAAAGUGAAAGAGAAGAAUGGUGAGGAAAAAAAAUGUAUUAAUUUGAAUUUUUAAAUAAUUUUGGUAAUAUUCUAUUUUUCUUCAUAUUAUUAUGAUAAACCAAAUAGGGAAUUUGGGUUCUUUAAGGUAUGUUUGGUUCUUGAAAAAUUUUGCACACCAUUGACAAUGGUAGAACGCAAAAGGUACAUGAACAAAAUGAGGAUGGUGUCGAUAAAAAAUGACCAGAUGUCCUUUAUACUUGUCUAGAUUAAACCUCCCAAACUUUAUAUGUUUUAACGAGUUGUUGGAUGAAAUUAAGAUCAGCUAGAACUCCUAGUUAUAUGGAAAGUGCCUCAGCCUAAUAUUUCUGGUUUCCCAAAAUCUAGAUAAAGACCUUAAAUAAAUUUUCGCUUCGUGUGGACUAGGUUUCUUCAUGUACCAAGUCUUACUACUUGUAUAUAUAUUCUAUUUGACUUUUGAGCGUGUAGACUAUUCAGCCAAGGGAACAACGUGCAAUCUAGCUAUCAUUCACCCAAAGGAAAAACGUGCUAGGACCCACUUAUUAACAAGUCUAUAGCAGCCAUUCUUGAAUGGCUUACUUGUUCCCUCAACCCCAUGAGAGGAUUCGGAUGUUUGAACUAUUGAAAUUUGAAAUUAUUUUUUGGUUUCAUAUAUAUUUUGAGUAAAAAUUUCCAAGAGCUCUUUUAGCAUUGAUUUUUAAACAAUUUUCAACUACUUAAAUUGAGGGACUGGUUCAUCAAUGAGCUUUUUUGCGGUUGCUUUUUUUUUUUUUUUAUGAUUUUUUGCAAUUUCAUUUAAACUCUUAUUUUACUUUACUUUUGGGCAUGCAGAUUGGGUUUGCUCUUGGAAAAUGAUAUAAUUUAGAAAUCAUUCAGCCUAGGGAACAACAUGCAAGACUAAUAUUUAUAUUGCAUUAAUUUCUAAGAAAUUUUCUCCAAGCAUUUAGAUAAAGAUUUAUGGGGUAGGAGCUUUGACAAACAUUGUUGUUGUACUUCUUCUUCUUCUUCUACUUUUCUACGUCUCAUUGACUCACGUAAACAAGCUUGACCGGAUACUUCCAUUUAACUCUUCCAUAAUCAAGAGGAUGCCUUCCUUUUCCACAGAUUAUCAUAAAUAACUCCUCUUGUUCAAAGGCUUUGAAAGCCUUCCUUUGGAUUCAAAGUAUUUGGUAAUGUUUUAUUCUCUUCUUUUUAGAUAUUAUAAUAUUUGCAGAAGUUUGUGGGUGCUCCUUCAGGCAUGGAUUUUUUUUAGAUAUUAUAAUAUACAGUUGGUGCUCCUUCAGGAUUCUUGUGCUACUUAAAGAUUCUUGUGCUAAUGAACUUGUUAUGAUAUUCACUGAUUUUAGUGGGUGAGCCUUGAAUAAACUUUUUUCCAACAUUCUGAUGCUGUAUUUGGCCUCUUUAUGUGUUUAAAGUGAACUGAUAUUAUUAUGAUGUUAUGAUGUUUGCAUAUUUUUGUGGGUGAACGUCUAGAUAUGAGUUUUCUCCAAAUCAAGGUAUUUCAUUAAUGUGGAUUCCCAAGAAUGAUAAAAAUGUUGAUUCAAAAUUCUGAUUUCUUUUCUUUUCCUACAUUCUUAGCCACCAAACAGAGGUAGAUGAGGUAAAUAUUUAACUACUUGGAGGAAAAUUAAGUCUGAGAUCUCACGCUCUUGCUGCAGACAGAAAGCAUCAAAUUAAGGCUUUGAAUGUUCUAGUACAAACAAAGCUUAAGCUUCAUGCCUUUAAGUUGGUAUCUGAUGAUUAACCUUCCAUUUUCUGGAUUUUUUUUUUCUCCUAUGUGCCCUGCAGGAUACAUAUAUUUCCUUUCAAGAAAGGAAGCAAGAGGGCAGUAUAAGUACACAAUCACUAAUGUCUGUUCAAAGGGAAGAUUUUGAACACACGGGACUGAAACAGCUCGCUGAUGUUGACUGGUACAACCAUUUUCCUACAUGCAAAAUUUCAAUAUAUAUAUUAGAGAAUAAGCAAUGGGAUCGAUCGAUGAGACCUUUACCUAAAAGUUUAAAGAAAAUUGGAUAACUGAAUCUGUGAGGCUUAGGAUUUGUGCUUGAUUAAUUACAUAUAGAAAUCGAUCUAAAGUGAAGUAAUAUUACGAGUUUUCUAAUAUGACCUAAAACUCCUAUAAGAAAAUGGUGAAUUCUGCCCGAGCAUGCAUCUUGAAGGUGUCUUAGCAUUGACAAGAUUUUCUAGAUGAAUUAACUGCUGUAUUUAUCAAAGGGUAGAUUAGAUAUGAGGAUUCAUUUAUCACUUCUCAUUGCAGGACAAAUGAUCAUCACCUCCGGGCAGUUGCUGCGAGCCUGGUUCAGGGAGCAUACAAUUUAGAAUUUGAUCGCCAGGAUUCCCAAGAUCCCCAAGGCCGUUGGUGGCACCUCUUUCAUUUUGAGUUAAAAGAUAAGCUCAUAGAUGAUAAAGAUUCGUCCAUCUACGGUGUCGUGUAUGAAAUCAAGCGCACAUACCCUAACCAUUUGCCAAAAUCUACCCCAAAGUUUGUUAUUGCCUUUCGUGGCACAAUCCUCAGCACCAAGAGCCGGGACAUGAAGUUGAAUAUGAAGGUCUUCGCUGGUAAACUUCACAAGGACAAGCCCCGCUUUAAACACGCGCUGGAAGCUGUCAAAGCAGUUGUUCGAGAAGCCUGGCCUGCAAAUAUUUGGUUAGUAGGCCAUUCCCUGGGGGCAGCCAUUGCGAUGCUGGUUGGAAAAUCCAUGGCCCAGGAGGGUAAGAAUCUCACAACUUUCCUUUUUAAUCCACCUUUCUUGAGGUAUUCCCUCUCAAAGAUUAUCAAAAAUCCAACUUUAAAGGAUGGAAUCCUCUCGACAAAGAAUGUUAUCAAAGCUGGGAUCUCUUUUGUUGGGGGUGAUCAUCUGUGGCAGGAACUAUAUGACCAAUUUAAUGCAUUGUCUUAUUGGAUCCCCAACCUGUUUGUGAACCAAGACGAUCCUCUUUGCUCAGGGUAUAUAGACCAUUUUAGAAAUAGGAAGAUCGAAGAUGAGAUACUUUCAAUAAGGAGUGCAAUAAAAGCUGCAUUUGUGAAGGAUCCACAACUACCCAUAUAUCUACUUCCUAAGGCAUAUCUAACUAUUAGCAAGAUCUCAUCCUCAACUCUUCAAGCUCAUGGACUAAAACAAUGGUGGUACCAAAUGUCUAUAGGGCCAGGCUUUGCAAAUUCAUCAACAAAGGUAUUGAUAGAUGAUGCCAUCCUCGUGGGUGAACCCUGAGCACACUCCAAGUAUUGAUGGAUUAAUCGUGUACUUUAACCAUAUAAUCCAUAAAGUAACAGAUGCCAAGUGAAAGGGUGCAACCUUUUACCUAGUCUAUUCAAGCUGUUGAAACCUUUGAUUUAUUGUCUCAUGCAUAAAUUUAGUUCUGCUCAUGGUAUGUGAACUAAUAAUUAGUGCAAUUUCAAACUUUUACUUUUCUUGCAAUUGUAUACGUAUAUACAUGUUGGAAAAUGUUUGAAGUUCCUAAUUGGUAUAUGUUUAUGUAUAUUUUUUUGUUCCUAAUUAGUAUAUGUUUGCAAAGAAUAAUAUUGUAGAGAUUUUUUUUUAUAUUAAUAUGUCAUUGUCGUAUUAGAUUUCUUUAUAGAAUCAAAAAAUUUAUCAAAAGUAUCACUAUAAAUAUUUUAGGUCGUGAGGGGAAAAAGUCAUGAGAUGGAAAUAGGUUUAUGAAGAUUAUACAUAGUAAAUAGAGAUAUAAAGAAGAAUGAGUGACACCCUGUGAAAUGAGGAGACACAUAGUUCAUUAUGUAGAUGCAAGAAGUGAAACAUGGGAUGUUUUGGGGUUUAAUAGUUAUAUCUAGUUAUGUCAUCUGUAAUAUUCUUUAUAAUACAAUGGAAUAAUCUCUCUAAUUCAUGGAUGUAGACAUAGCUAGUCAAACUAUGCACAUUAAAAUCUCAUGUGUAUUUGUGUAUGAAUUGUUUAUCUUGGUUAAUCAAACCAUGCAUGUUAAAAUCUCACAUAUAUUUGUGUAUGAAUUGUUUGUCUUUGUAUUCUUCCAUUAACAUAUUUGCAUUAAAGCUUUGAUUAUAUUGUCAUAACAAAGCGAUAUUAGAGCUUAUUUCUUAGACCUAGAAUAACAACAAAAUUUAAGGUUGAGAAAUUUAAUUGAAAAAACAAUUUCAAUUUAUGUCACAUUAAGAUACAUGCCUUGUUAGUUCAAUAAGGAUUAUUCAAAGUGCUAAAAGGUAGAGAGGUUUUAUCAACAACAACGUCUGAUGAAGAGAAUAAUGAACUUAUGGAGAAAAUGCACAAUGCUAUUCUAUUAUGCUUGGGUAAUGAGGUACUUGGAAAGUUACAGUUGAAGUUAGAAAGUCUAUACAUGACUAAGUCUCUUAUAAUUCACUUAUAUUUGAAGAAGUUGGUGUUCACUCCCCAAAUGAAAGAAGGUACAUCCAUCAAAGACCACAUUUAUGAAUUUUAAUUAUAGAUUUGAGGAAUACUGAUGUUAGAAUUGAUGAUGAAAAAACUAAGUCAUAAUUUUAAAGUGUUCCCUACCAAAUUCUUAUGAGCACUUUGUGGAUAUCAUGAUGUAUGGUAAAAAUUCGCUCUCUACAUAAAGGAUGUUAAGGUCGCCCGGAACUUAGAGAAGUUAAAAAAAUCGUCUUUGAGAGUGGAGAAAAAAGCUUAUGUAAAGGUUUAGUGGCUAAAGAGAGAAUAUGGAAGAAAAAUAAUGGCAAAAAAGUUUGAUCUUAAUCUAAAUCAAAGUUCAAGAUAAAUAACAAGUGUUCAAUAACAAUAAGAAAGAGCACUAUGUGAGAAAUUGUUCGGAACAUAAAAGAAAAUGAAGAAAGAAAGCUUGUAAUUUUGGUUAUGCAAUAAUUGUAGAAGAAAAUUUGAAUAUUGCAUAUGUCAUUUCAGUUAUGGUUAGUAACUCAAGUGAUGAGCGGAUCCCCAACUCAAGGUGUUAUUAUCAUAUGCCUCCCAAUAAGGAUUAGUUUGGUGCCUACAAACUUACAAAUGGUGAAAAUAUUCUUAUGGGAAACAAUGUAGCUUAUUAGGCUGUCAGGACAAAUAUAAUUCAAAUUAAGAUGCAUGGUGGCAUUGUAAGGACAUUAAUUUAUGUAAGGCAUGUUUCAGAGUUUAAUAAAAAAUUUAUUUCUCUAGGAAUGCUUGACUCUAAUUGAUACACAAAUAAAUCCAGGAGUAGAGUUAUUAGAAUCUCAAAGGGUGCUCUUAAUGUGAUAAAAUGACAAAAAAUUAAUGAUCUUUAUACAUUGUAGGAUAGCACGGUUACAAGUACAGUUGCCAUUUUAACCUCUAAAUUAAUUUCAAAGACUACUAGAUUAUGGAUAUGCCACUUGGGCAUAUGAAAAAUGGGGGUUGGCAACUUUGAGCAAACGAGGUUUGCUUAAUGAAUAGAAAAUGGGACAACUAGAUUUUUGUGAGAAUUAUGUGUUUGGGAAACAAUGAAUUUAGGUUAUAUGCCCUAGUAUUAAUUAGGGAUGCUAAUAUCAUAUCAACCUAACGAUUAUGCCCCAUGUAAUGAUUUGAUCUAACAAAAUGGUUAUGCCUUGGUAUGAGGAUCUAAGCAUAACAAAAUGAUUAUGCCCUAAUGUGCUCUAAUAACUCCCAAUGAAUUGUUGUGCUCCAUUUGGGCAAAAUUUAUAUUUUAUAAACUCAAACCAAUCUAAGUAACAUCAACAUGGGGGCUAUGAAGCAUGAUGUAUGAUGCCAUUGCUUCACAAUGAUCUUAAGACUUAGGAUGAAAUGUUAACUAAGGAUAAGAGGAAAAGAAAAUAAUAGAAACUAGGCUUAAAACCCCAAUAAGCAACCUCAUGCGUCUUACGUAUACAUAACGUGUAAAAGAUAAGCAAACUCUAAGGUCAUACAAUACACAAACACUCCCCGAUACACUUCAUGAUAUACUUUUCUUUUUUUCUUUGUUUUUUCUUUUUCUUUUUGUUUUCUUUCUUCUUCUUCUUCUUUUUUUCCUUUCUUCUUUUUUCUUUUGUAUCACAUCACUAAAUUAAGAAAAUAAAGCACAAAAACUUAAAAUAGAAUGGUACUACUAGUAUGACAAAAUAGGUGAAGCAUAUCAAUCUAAAAUAAAAGUGUAUCACCCAACCAUGAGAAGGAAAUACUAAAAUAUGAACAAACCAUGGAGUCCACAACCAAGGAGGUCUCACCUAUAUAUGAGUACACAUAAAAAAGCCCCUUAAUCCCUAAGGUACAAAAAUAAGUGAAUUAAGGUGAUGAAAAAUAGAUUGUGUGAAAAGGCUUAAUUGGCUAGCAAGGGGCAACUCAAAAUAUGGGGUGUACCAUGAGGAGAGUGCAUGAAAUGAUGGUCACCCCAUCUUUUGACCACAACCUUAAACAUAGUACUCUUAAGUUAAUCAACAUUGGUUAGUUCUAACAAUCGUUUUCCAUCUAAAUCCAUUAAUCAUAUUGUCCUUCGUCAAGCCAUGCAUCUUCAUUAUCACAUAAGGUUGCCCUAAAUACUUUGUUUGCAACUAAAGAGCUUAUACUAAACUACAUUCAACUAACGUCAAGCCAUCUCCUUCUUAACAUAUAGGCUCCAUUUUAGGUUCAUUCUCCUCAAUUGUUGCUUAAACAGCUUGCCAUUAGGUAAAAGAGGAUAGGAGGUGUUGUGUAAUUCUUGGGUGGAUAAGCUAAAGUGCUAUGCAAAGAUAUCCACAACCUUCAACAAUCCACUCAUUGAGUAGUGUAUUUAAUUCUUGUCUCUAAGCAUAGAGGGGCCCUAAAAAAGAGUGCUAGCAUUCCGGAUAAAAGUUUGAGUUCUCAUGGGAGUGAUCAUCAUGUGAAAACACUGAUUAUUGCAUCAAUAUAAAUCUAACAUUUUGCUCUAUAUUUUACUAGAAUACUUUACAUACUCUCCUUUAUAAGGCUUUUUUGCACAAAUAAUAUAGUUUUUUAAAAUAUUUAAAAAAUUGUUCUGUCAAAAAUAAUUCUAAAACUAUUGUGUAAAACACAACUAAUUAAAUUAAGCAAAAUAUUCAAAAGGUGGUUGAAUUAGGUUUUUAAAACUUUUUCAAAAAGCAUACUUAAGUAAAUCAAUGAAGUACAAUGAAUAUAAAGAAAUAUAAAUAAAGAUAGAAAGAUACAAACUCGAUUUUUAUAAUGGUUCGACAAUUCCUACCUAUGUCCACUCUCCUCAAACUCCUUCCGAGUAAAGGUUCCACUAGAUCAAGGCUUCAAAACCAAGCUUCAAACUCUUACACUAAAUUUACCUACUCUAAUGGGCACAUAAAAAUUUCUUCAAGUUCAAAACCAACUUAAAGCUUUUAAACACUUGAACUUUCUCUAAUAAAUAGAUGUUUAAUCUCACUCAACCUAGCACAAUUAAUGCUUGAAUAAAAGAGGAGUUAGGUUGAAUACAAAAAGGUACACUAGAGGAGAUUUGCAAGUAAGUAAUCAAUACACAAAGAUUUGAGAGCUUUGAAAAAGAGAAAAUGGUAGAUAAGGAAUUCAAUGCAAAUGUUUUCUUAUCAAUAAAUGCAUAAAAGUUCCUUAUUUAUAGGUUUCUAACCUCGAAUACCCAAAAAAACAAAAACUAGCCUUGACUGACCACGUCAAGCUCCAAUUUCACUUGUUCAUUAGUUGUUAGUGUGAAACCAAGGUUUGGUUAAUCUUGAUUUUGAUGAUAACAAAACAAGGUUUAGAACUAAUGAUCAUAUUUCAAGUGUGAUUAGGCAAGACGAUUUCCAAAGUGGCAAUCACAAAGACAAAUCAAGCCAAAGAGAAAUCAUGAAGAAGAAGACCACCUCAAAGAGAAGAGUUUUUCAAGACCAAAGCUUCAUAAGAUCUCUUUGUAAGGUUGUUGGUGCACUAGGACUUUCUUGCAUUUCAUUCUUUAUUUAUGCACCAAAAUCAUCCAAGAGUAAUAUUGUUGUAAAUAUCUUAAGAAUUGGAUGAUUUCAUGUUUUCAACCAAUACCUUGUGUUAAAUGAUUUUCAAACUUGUGUUAAAAGGUUUUAAGUUGAAAAAGGUUGGGUGUUGAGCCAAAAAAUGGCUCAAUCGGUUCAACCGGUCGAGGACUGGUUGAGGGAGGCCAAAAAGUUUCUCUCUCUCCCAGUGGCCUUCUCUUCCCGGUCAAGGUUGAACCUCAACCGUUUGAGGUCCGGUCGAGGUCUGGUUGAGGUCCGGUUGAGGCCCAACAGUCAUUUUCCAAGCAUUAAGUGCUAACGGCUAGUCAACCAGUUGAACCCCCAACGGCUAGUUUGGCUUUUUUCUUCUAUAAAAAGGCUCCAAUCUUCAUUGUUUCAUGAGCUUAACCUUCCAAAAUCAUUCUUGAUUAUAUUUGAGCCUUGGAAGAGUGUUUUUUUAGUGCACCGUUGUUUCAUAACUUGCAUAUCUUUAGUGCACCAUUCAAUCCUAGUUCUUCUUGUAUCUUUAAGCUUAAAAGUUCUUGUAUUAGGAUUUUGUGAGAUCCAAUCUUUGUAUUUCUUUGAGAGAAAUUUUCUCAAGUGAGAGUAUCACUUGAGAGGUUGUUCAAGAGUAGGAUAACUCUUGAGAAGUGUAAAGGGUGCUUGGAGCCAAAAGUCCAAGAGGGUGAACCAUAAUCCAAUUGUAAAGAGAUUGGAAGCUUGGUUGAAGCUUCAAGAUAGUGGAACCCUCACUCGGUUAGGUGGUUGAGGAGAGUGAACGUAGGCAAGAAAGUACCAAACCACUAUAAACUCUCGUGUUUGCACUCUCUCUUCCCUAACUCUUUUAAAUUAUAUGCAAUUGUAUUUAUUUUGUUUAUUAUAUACUUGCAUAUAAUUGUCUCUUAUUUUUGCAUAGUUUAAAUUUGUGAAAAAUAGAUCACCACCCUAUUCACCCCCCCCCCCCCCCCCCCCCCUCUAGGGUGAUUACCAUAAGUUGGAUUACCCUCAAAUUCCUAACAGUUAGGUAAUAAACACACAAUAGGUGACCAUUUGUCAUUUUUAAAGUUCGACUGAACCUUGACCGAGAAAAUGGUAGCCUAGAUCUAGAAUACAAGCUCUAUAAAAGAGAGAGAAAAAUUCUUACACCUUGGACCAAACCUCAACUAGGAAAUGGUGACCCAUUCCUAACUGAUCAAGCCAAUUUAGGUCUUCCCUUAAUCGGUUGGAACUUUUAGGCUCAAAAUCAAUCUUUUUAUUUCCAAAGGCUUUCUAACACUUAGAUAUUGUCUUUAGGAAACUAUGUAGCUCAAUUAUAAAGGGUUUUGUCUAAGGUUUUUUAAUUUUAACUUAGUUUCAAGAGAGAUAAGAAUAAUUAGGCUCAACUUUAUGAAAACUAAGUAUAGAGAAAUGCAUAAAAAUAAAAUAAAAAUAAAAAUAAAAACAUGUUUAGAACCUAGGUACACCCAAGAUAUUCGUUUUACAAAGGUUAUCCUAGUCUUGAAGGAUCUUCACACAUCCAAAGCUUCACAUUUCUUGAAUUUCCUUGAGCAAGCAUGUCCUUUUUUUUAUUUUUAAGUUAUAUACUAGCUUGAUUUAAAAUGAUUAGUGCACUUAACUAUAUUUUGUUCUCAUCAAAACUAAAUUAGGAAAACUCUCAAGCUAACAUACCAUAUUUUUGGAUUUCAUGUGUAAGUCAUCUUUUGAAAAUACAAGUUUAUUGUAAAAGGUGAAUUCAUCUUUUCAAAAGACAAAUUCAAUAUAAAAAGUGAAUGCAUCUUCUGAAAACAUGAGUUCAAUAUGAAUAUAAAACAAUCGAUCAAAAAAUCCCACUGAGUGCAAUUAUCUAAAGAUUUUAGGAGGUCAAAGUGUGCCCCUACAAAGUAAAGACAUCACAAGGAUGGCAUCUUGAUUCAAUUGAACAUAUGAUUGUGUUUAUGUACAAUAUCACUUACAUAUGAUUUCAAUUGUGUAUAGCAUUACUUCAUACCAAUACAAGUAUCUUUGUUUAUUUCCAUUUGUGUAUUAUUCCUUAAGGCUAUUUUUGGUUCUUCAAGAAUACAAAGAAGAGAAAAUAGAGAGGAAAAGUGGAAGGAAAUGAAAUAAUAAAAAAUCAAAAAAAUAAAUAAAAUAAGGUUCUUAGAGAAAAAAAUUGAAAAUUAAAACAAAUAUGAAAAACGAUAUUCAACAUCAAUACUUCAUAAUUAUCAUUACAAUAAUAUUUCUAAAUUUAUUUCUUUACUUUAAUUUACAAUUGAAAUUACUUUUUUUAAAAAAAUCAAGUGAAGCACAUAUUUACUCUGAUGCACUCAUAUUUACUAAACAAAAUUAAAAUGCAAAUAAAGUUUUCAUACCAUUCAUCCUCAAACAACUUAUCUUUAACAUAAUUCUUCAUUUUAAAUAAAACCCACAACGGUGGGUCUGGAAAUGCUUCAUUUUAAAUCCAUUGGUUUCAAUACACGAAAAUUUGUAUUGUAAGAUAUCCUAAAAAUCUGCACAUUUCAAAAUCAAAACUAAAACACUACACUAUUGGUGGCACCCAAUCUUCAUGUUUUCUCAUAGAAACGGUCUUAUCAUUGCAUAAAAAUGGUCAUCUGGUAGCUCAAAGAGGUGCCAAUGUUAUCAUACUUGAAUAUCCCCAUCCAAGUAUAUCAUCUCGCUAUACACCACAAACUGAUUCAUAAAAAAUUGCAUAUGAAUCAACCAAUUAUACAAGAGACAGUAGCAAAAUCAUAAAAAAUAGUGACAAAAAGUUAUGAUAAAACUGUCGUGAGAGGGAGCUUGGAACAUAAGUUAUUGUGUGUAAUAAUAAUUUUUGGAUUGCAUGUAUAUGAUCCUAGAAAACAAAAGGUUUUGAUGUUCUCAAAUAUUGGGUUUCUAGAGAAAGGAUCAUAGACUGAAAGUCUAGAUCAAAUGUCAGCAUGGAAAGAAAGUCACAUACCAUGCAGUCAUAACUCGUCCUGAAUGAGAUCUUCUUGUUUAAUUAUUAAACCAAUGGGAAAACUCAGUCUUUCAAGCUUAAGAAUGCCAAAACCUUAAAGAGAUUCAUGCUAUACAAUAUUAUAGUACAACAUAAAGUUUGACAAAUGUGUUUCUGAUAAGGCCGCUGCCGAUCUCUUUGAAGAGGAAAAAAGGCGAUCUCUGAAUGAUGUAUGGUAGAAAACACUCUUGAGAUAGCAAUUUACAGCAUAUACUAGAAAAGUAUACCAUCAAAAUAUCAUGACUUGCUGGAAUAGGCCAGAGUGAGGAGUAGACUUAUCAGAUGGUGACUGUUGAUGAACUUGCUU
Molecule: long non-coding RNA, 63776 nt
Filed under: Vitis vinifera (wine grape)
Lineage: Eukaryota; Viridiplantae; Streptophyta; Magnoliopsida; Vitales; Vitaceae
Description: long non-coding RNA (VVIN_LNC005577)
Source: RNAcentral